UUCCCAACUAAUGGUAAGUCAUAAUGCAAAACAUUAAGAAAGUGUUUAAGAUGUACCUCGCUUGUCACAUUGCUCUAUUCAACUGCCCAGCUUACAUCAACCCUUUUACCACAGUUUGAUGCACAAAUCAUAACUCUCAUAAAUGGUAAUUCCACUGAUAACUCAAAAGGCUUGAUAUUGCUUUUCUAUACCUCUAGCACUUCUAGGAGGGUCUUCGUAGCACUCUAACUACUGAGUCACUAUUCCCACCACAUGGAACAUCCUUGGCUAGUUGGAUUGUCGAGAUUACUUUAGUUUCAUCCCUUAUGUCUCAACUCACCGACACAACGCAUUAUUGUUGUCAAUUAUUUGAAAUUCAUAUACUAUUGACAAAACGAACCAAAAGGGCAUUAAUCUUGUUAAGAAAAUUCAAGCCAAGCAUGAAGUCAUAAUCAAAAUGAAUUACCUCAAAGUCUUCAUUUCCUUUCCACUCACCAAUUUGUAGCUUAAUUGGUAACACCCCAAAAAUUUUGAGAAAUUAAUUGUGAGAAUUUGCAGUAAUUAAGUCUCUAUAUCUGUGGUUGUGUGUUCUGCUUUUGUGAUUAGGGUUUUGAGUUCAAGUCACGUCAUUAACUGUUUUGUUUUUUUUAAACAACUUUUACCCACGUGUUAUAUAAUUAACUUCAAUUUAAUGUAAACAUGUGACAAGAAUGAGCCUUUUGGUUCACUGGUUAAGCAUCUAUUUGUAUUCUGUCUGGUUCCAAGUUUGAAUCCUAGGGUAUGCGAUAAGGAACAUUCUUUUUACUAAGUGCUAGUAUCUGACUAGAAGUUAUUAGGAAUUAAAAAUUUCGUCAUCUUCCAUUCGUUUAUUUUUGUUUUGUUGAUGUCUUUUAUUUAUUUCUUUUUCCUACUUCCCUUUCUUUUUCAUUUCGAUUCUUUAAUUUUCUUCUUCAUUUUGAUCACGAUCAUACAUAAGUAUGGGUCUAGACGAAGUUAUACACCGUUAAUUACAUUGAUAGAAAGGUUAGUAAGUUUCACUGUCAAUUCGUUAAAUUUUUGGGUUUAUGUUUUGAAUUAGGCAUCUCAAGCGUAUUGUGUAAUCUUUGAUAAUUAGUCGCUUAGUUUCCUCGUAGGCAGAGGUGUCGGGAGUAGCAAACCUCAACUCAAUAAAUUGAGCGACUAUUGUUGACUUUCCAGUAAGUUUGAUUUUAUUGAAGGUUUCAUGUCAAAACCUUCGACAUAAAGUAUUAUGUGUAAAAUGUGCGUUAUUAUCGAUAAAGUUAGUUGAUUGAAUUAUUGGAUGGUCGUUUUAGGCUUCGAAGACUCUCCUCAUUGUUUUUGCUUUGAAAUCUCUCCAGGUGCAUACCGAAAAAUCUUAAUUUUUGUAAGUUUUGGUCGCCAAAAAUGAUGGUUGUCGACACACACGGCCAUGUGGCUGGCUGUGUAACUCACUGUUCAUCAAUUUGGAGUCACACGGGCAAGGCACACAGACGUGUGUCCAGGCCGUGUGUGACAAUAUUAGUGUAGAGUUCACACGAGCAUGUUUGUGACAAUAUCUGUUUGUGACAAUAUCUGUUUGUGACUUAGGACAACACAAGCGAGCACAUGAGCAUGUGCCCAGGUCGUGUGUGUCACACGGGCAAGUGUCACAGGGCUAGAUCUUUCGUCUCGCGAUCCAUGGGGCUUUAGGCGAUCCGUUCAUCCAAACUCGCCUAAAUCAGCCUUGGCUCAAGAGAGGAUUCCUUAAAAACUCCUUCAAGGCACCAAUUUAUAUAGCGGAAGCAAACUUAUGCCAAAAGAAGCUACAAAGAACAACAGAAAAGAACACACACAAGGUGUUUGAGUAAAUUCUCUCAAAAUUCUAUUACUCUUAAGAAUUCAACAUACAAUGGAAUGCCUUUCAAGUGAGGGGGAGGCUCUCUAUUUAUAGUUGAGCUCCCCCAAAACUGACGAACAGGAUUAAUUUACAUCGACGGACGAGAUUAACCAUAUCCCAUGAUUUUAGGGAUUUACAAGAUAUGUCAUAUCAUAUCUAAUCUAAUCUUUACAAGAUAUAAUUCCUAUCAAUCUUCUAAGAUUAGUUAACAUAAUAGCCUAAGUUGUCAUAUCUUCAUUAUCAGGCCAACCAGGCUUUAAUCUGACAGGCUUCUUCAAUAGCUCUUUGAAUCGGGUCAGUUCUCGUAGGCUAAAUGAUCCUCAUCUUAUUGACAGACCUUCAUGGGGCGCAUCUUCUGCCAUGGUCAAAGGCUUUGCACUUUGACCCGUGACAUCUCCCUCACCCAUUCUCGCAAUACCCUCGUUGCGACUUCAAAAUGGCACUAACUUGAUUCACCUCUGAACCCUCUCGUUGCCUUAGCUUCUUCUCGACUUGCCUUGCGAUCGGGUUGUCCCUUUUUUCAAAACUUUUGCCUCGGCUUUCAUCGUUUCUUAGCUUGAACCGUUACACUCGUUGGUACAUCUCGUUGGCAAAAAGUCUUCGCUCUAACUUGCCCCAAUUUUGACUUUUUCCCUUUUGAAUCGCCUUGAUUCUCACACCUUGGCUUCGUAUUGCCCACAAUCCCUUGGCCUCCUUGCUUAUCAACUUUGAAAGGACCCCCUACGACCUUGCCAAGCCAACAAGUCAAAAUUCAAAACACUAUCAAGGUGUUCGCAAUAUACCUUACUCACAGCAUUUACUCGUCCCGACUAUUUUUACAUCGCUCCUUUUCCCUCGAAGCCCGAUACACAACCCACAUUUCUCAAAGAUGUCAGCUCUACAGUCGAAUCUGCAAGCUUCAUAUCGAUCUCUUGCACCACUAACACUUCUGAAGGGGCUUUCGUAGUAUUCUAUUCUAUCGAGUCAAUAUUCCUCUCAUACGAAACAUCCUCGACUAGUUAGAUUAACGACAACAACUUUGUCCCCACCUUCAUAUCUCGAUGCAUUGGCACAAUAAUUUUUUAUAAUGGACCAGUGAUAAUAUAGAUUUAAUCGGCCUAUAGAUGCAGAGAUUCUUAUUCGGUUCCUUAAUUGAGAGACCAAGUUUCCCCGCAGUCUUUUUUGAUAUGAACAAGUUCGAUGCUCCUGUAUCCACAAGAGCACUCUUCUUUUGACCUGCAAUGUUGAUGUCUACAAACAUCAACCCAUCUCCACCAUUCCUUUUCUUUAGAAUGAGCACCAUCGAAUUGACCGUCGAUGUAUUUUUCGCAAUAGGCUUCGCCUCUUUCGGCUCAUCAUUCCACUUGAUAGCCGAAACUGAAGAUACCUUUGGGUAGUCCCUCUUCAUGUGCGGUCCUUUACAAAAGUAGCAUUAUAACUUUUCCCUCUUUUAUUUGGGGCUAUUAGGUCUUAACUUCCCAUUUCAUGGUUCCCCAUUAUCACCGUCGCUACUACUACCGUUGUCAUAAUAGCUAUCCCUCUUCAUCUUCCUCAUGGUACCCACAAUUGCCCCUCCUGUUAGGCUUGGAAGAUUCAAACAUGACUUUUCUCGGAAUAAGUUCCACUAUGGACUCCACUACCAUCAUAGAAUUGGUAAGUUCUUGAACUCCUCGAUGUUGUAAUUCUUACUUCGUCCAUGGUUUUAACCCAUCUGUAAAGGAGAAAAAUGCUUCCUUCUAGAUCAAAUCAGAGAUCUGAAGCAUGAGUUUACUGAACUCCCAUACAUACUCCCUAACCGUGCCUCAAUUCGUAAGCCACCGUAACUUUGCUCAAGCUUCAUCCUCGACAUACUCGGGGUAAAACUGUACCUUAAAUUCCUUUCAAAACUCUUUUCAAGUCCCAAUCUCGAUCCCACCACGUCUCACAUCAGUAGACCUACAUCGCCACCAUAACAAAGCAACGUCAGUAAAAUACAUAGCAACAAUAUUUACCUUUGUCGCAUCAUCCUCCAUGUUCAUCGUACGAAAGUAUUGCUCCAUGGCCCAAUGAAAGUUGUCCACUUCACUUGCGGACCUUGCCUCUUUAAACACUUUUGGUUUGGGCACAUCCAUUGCUUGUUGCUUCGGCUUUGAAGCUAACAUUCCAUUACCUAUGGCAGCCUUAAAAAUCUUGAGCUCCCCCUUAAGCUCAUUGAUCUUCUUCAAAGCUGUCACAAUAGCCUUGAGAGCAUCGUCCUUCCCAGCUAGUUCAUUCUCCGAGGAACCGAUAGUAUCCCACACAAAUUCCUUGAGCUGCUAUUACAUUAUUUACAACCCAUCAUUGAGUCUAUCAUUGACAUCACCAAUCCUCUCCUUGACCUCCUCCGUGGACUCAUUGAGAGUGACAACUCAAUCCUCCAAAGCUAACAAUAAAUCCCUCAAUCGACUAUCUUUUCUAGCCCUUCUUCAAGUCUUCAUUGGCCCACUUUGACUAACAACUUCUUUCUACAUCCCAAUAGUACCUUCGAACCAAUAGUUUAAAUACCACUUGUCACGAGGCUAGACCUUUUGUCUCGCGAUUCGUGUGGCCUUAGGCGAUCCACUCGUCCAAACUCGCCUAAGUCAACAUUUACUCUAGUAAUGAUUCCUUAAGAACUCCUUCAAUGUACCAAUUUAUAUAGUGGAAGCUAACUUAUUCCAAAAGAAGCCACACAGAACAAUAGAAAACCAUAGAAAAGUACACACACAUGGUGUUUGAGCAAAUGCUCUCAUAAUUCUAUUACUCUUAAGAAUUCAACAUACAAUGAAAUAUCUUUCAAGUGACGGGGGGCUCUCUAUUUAUAGUUGAGCUCCCCCAAAAUCGACGGACGAGAUUAACCAUAUCCCUUGAUUUUAGGGAUUUACAAUAUAUGUCAUAUCAAAUCUAAUCUAAUCUUUACGAGAUAUGAUUCCUAUCAAUCUUCUAAUAUUAGUUAACAUAAUAGCCUAAGUUGCCAUAUCUUCAUUAUCAGGCUAACCAAGUUUUAAUCUAACACGCUUCUCCAACAGUUCUUUGAAUCGAGCCAAUUCUCGUGGGCUAAAUGAUCCCUAUUUUAUUAACAAACCUUCAAGGAGUGCAUUUUGUGCCUUGGUCACGGGCUUUGCACUUUGACCCGUGACACAAGAACAUGACUGUGUGUCCAGGACGUGUGAACCACAUAACAAGGACAUGGGCGAGUGUCCAAACUGUGUUGCAUAUAUAAAAAUGAUUGAAAAUUAUUUUUGAGGCCGUAAAUGUUACUUAAGACUGAUUUUGAUGUCCCCAAGGUAUGAAUAGUCUGAAUUUGACUGAAUGAGAACUCUCUGAUACCCCGUGACAUAUACAUAAAUUUUAUACCUGUAUGUGCACUGUGAUACUUAGUCUAACAUUAAACUGUGCUAUCUACUUGUACAAUAAUUUAGAAUAACUAAAUACAUAUUGUAGAUAUUGGUUCUUUACAUAUGCAUGGCUUGAGAUAUUAUGAAGAAGAAAGUGAUCUGCUCUAAAUUAGUGGCUAAGCCACCAUAUGUAUAACUCUGAUUCCGGUGUUUUAUCGCAUUACGAUUGAGUAGUUAAGUUACGUUUCUGUAAACGUGUAAGACAGACACUUUAUGGUGUGUAGGGUUGAUUGGGCAUUGAACACCCUUAACGGUGUGUUGGGAUGACCGAAGAUGGUGUGUAAUGGAUAAGGGUUAAGAAUAUCUGCAUCUGACUCUGAUCUGUUCUAUAUAUGACACUGAAAUUGUUUCUACAUCCGAAAUUAAUCUGUCUUAGAUUUGAACUAGAAAUAUUUCUGUUAUCAGAUCGAAUCUUUGAAUCAGGACACUGUUUGGUAAAUAUGUUUAUGUUAACAAACUUCUUUAUGCACUGAGUUCACAACUCACUUUAUUGUUGGCUGGUUUUCAAGUGGUUCUUAGUCUUGGACGGGUUGGCACCUCGGAAGCUUGGUUAAGCUUUUAUCUUUCUUUUAAAUACUACUUUAGGAAUUUUGGUAAACUAUGAUAGUAGGACUGUGGAAGAUUAUAUACUUAGCUAAUCUUUGUAAUUAAUAUUAUGUGACGUAUGGUUUAGUAUUAUUGUGUUAUAUGUGUGGUAUUUGAGUAUCAAUAAUUUGACUUCUUAAACAUAGACUGGACGUCUAGACCGGGUUUAGGGUGUUACAUUUAGUGGUGUCAGAGCUAGAUUUGUCGACACUCAAACUGUUUUUGGGCUCAUAAUGUGUGAGAACAGUAGUUUGGUGAUAACUUAGUAUCUGAGUUAAUAUGGAAAAACUAAAACUUUAGUGAAUGACCAAGCCUCUGAUGCUAACCCUGUAAGUAUUUUUGUUCUGUUAUAAAGUGGUUAAAUGUUUUAAUAUGAACUAGUGAAAUCAUCCUAUUGGAUGUUUGAAUUGAUCCGUGCACUCUGACAUUAUAGCUAGGUUGUCAUAAUGAGUUCGUGCGGUAGUCGUAGACGUGGUAUUCGGGGGCGUCAAGGACGCCGAGGAGGAGCUCGAGUAGAGUCAUCCUCUAUGGGUAGUAUGCCCAAUCUAGAGACCAAGGAGACAGUUGGUACUCCCACUACUGAGACGGGGUCUCAAACUUCAACAACUGGAGACGACGCAAUGUCUAAGGCCAUAAUUUGAGUACUGGCAAGGGUCGUAGGGACCCAUUCAAGAUCAGGAGGCCGAGGGUAGAUUACUGAGCGACUCUGGUCGAAUGGGACUGAAUUAUUCAAGGGCGUCAUAGGAGUUGCUCCUACUGUUGCUGAAUAUUAGCUCUAGGCUACCAAGCGUAUUAUGACUGAUUUUGACUGUACUCUCACUCAGAAAUUGAGGGGUGCUGUAUCCCUACUUCGGGACGAAGCUUACCAAUGAUGGUUGACAGUUGAGCAAUGUGCUCAGUUUGAACAGGUUAACUUCGAUUAUUUCAAGAACGUUUACCAGGGCAAGUAUGUAGGGGUGAGUUAUAUUAAGGCUCACCAAUAUGAUUUUAUGAGCCUAGUUCAGGGCGCCCGAUCUGUGGUUGAAUAUGAAGCCGAGUUUCUGCGACUGAGUAGGUAUGCACUGACUUUGGCAGUGUCUGACUACGACAAGUGCGUAAGAUUUGAGGAGGGAUUGAGACUUGAUCUGCGGGUUCUAAUAGCUCCUCAGAGGGAGUGGAUUUUUACGGUUCUGGUUGACAAAGCAAAGAUAGUAGAAGAAGUGAAGCGUGCUAAGCGCGAGUGGCAUGAUCGUGAGAGGGACCAGAGCAAGAUUAAGAGGGAUUCGAGCCAUUCUGGUUCUGGUCAGCGCCCUAAGAAGCAGGCGAGUUUGACCGGCCCCCGAUGGCCAAUACACCGACUGUAAUAACUGAGAUUCAACUACGCAGUGAUAUUAGGAAACACCAUCCAAGAGAGUGCUGGAGGAAGUUAGGAGCAUGCCUCUGUUGUGGGUCGAUAGAGCAUUGAGUUAGAGACUACCCUCGUCUUCCAAAUUAGAUGCUAGUUGCGAUACAAACUUUGACUCCGAGUUUUGUUCAACCUCCGAGAAUGGUUCAGCAACCACCUAGAGGUCGCAGUACUGGUAGAGGCAAUAAUAGUACGAUGAGACGACAGAGGGCAUCAGGUAAAGGUGUAAGUCAAACUAGGGCUCGUUAGCCGGCACUGGUUUAUGUGGUGAGACACCGCGAGAAGAGCGAUGAUGUUAAAAUCAUUGCAGGUGCCUUUUUUAUUAAUUCUAUUCUGUACUAUGCUCUCAUUGAUAUUGGCUCUACUCACUCGUACAUAGCUAAUGUUGUUCCUACAAAUCUGGGUUUAAUUGCUAAAAAAUAUUGCUAGAGAGUUUCUGUGAUUAGUCAUUUGGGUCAGUCAAUUCAAGUUGAUAAAAUUUAUAGGUAGGUACCCCUACAGCACUAAGGUAUGGUAUUUCCAGCUGACCUGAUGAAAUUACCCUUUAAUGAGUUUGAUUUGAUUCUGGGAAUGAACUGGAUUAUAGAAUACCGGGUCAGUCUGGAUUGUGCAACCAAGAGAGUUACUCUAAUAACGGAUGAGAAUGAUGAAGUAGUAAUGGUCAGUGAGUGCCAAGUUUACCUCUCUAAUGUAAUCUCUGCUCUUGUAGCAGAUAAGUUAGUCCGAAAGGGGUACAAGGCAUACAUUGCCUACGUAUUCGAUUCUGUUCCCGCAAAGCUUUCUACGUGAGACAUUCAUACUGUGCAGAAAUCGUCGGAUAUUUUUCUUGAGAAAUUGCCUGGGGUACCUCUGGAUUGGGAGGUGGAAUUCGGUAUUGAUCUGUUACCAGGUACAGCUCCGGUGUCCGUUGCACCCUAUCGCAUGGCACUGAAAGAGCUAAUCCAGCUAAAAGCGCAGCUUCAUGAACUUCUCAACAGAAGGUUUAUCCAAUCGAGCAUGUCUCUAUGGUGGCUCGGUACUGUUUGUUAAGAAAAAACACGGGUCGGUGAGAAUAUCCAUAGACUAUAAAUAGUUGAACAAGUUGACAAUUAAGAAUAAGUACCCAUUACCGACGAUUGACGACUUGUUUGACCAGUUUCGAGAAGCAUCCAUCUUCUCCAAAAUUAAUCUGCUCUCCGAUUACCAUCAGCUCAAAGUCAAAGAGACUGAUGUGUACAAACCCGCCUUCAGGACUCAUUACGGACAUUACUAGUUCCUGGUGAUGCCUUUCGAUUUGACGAAUGCUUCGACAACCUUUAUAGACUUAAUAAAUCAGGUGUUCGAGCCGCACUUGGAUUAGUUUGUAGUGGUUUUAUCGAUGAUAUCCUAAUUUACUCCAAAACUAAAAUUGAACAUGAUAAUCACCUUCGUACUGUACUUCAACUACUCCGAAAAAAUAGUUGUAUGUCAAGUUCAGUAAGUGCAGGUUUUGGUUACAGGAAGUCACUUUUCUAGAUCAUGUGGUAAUUGUGGAAGGGAUCCGAGUAUAUCCCAAGAAAAUAGAAGCUAUAGUUGAGUGGAAACAGUUGAGCUUCGUAGUUUUUUGGGUUUAGCCGGUUAUUACCAACGAUUCGUUAAGGGAUUUUCUUUAAUUGUGUCACCUUUAACGAAACUUUUACGUAAAGGUGCUCUGUUUGUGUGAUCUGAGGCACAGUAGUCUAGUUUUGAUAAGCUCAAGUCUGUUCUAACACAGGCUCCUGUUUUAGUUCAACCGAAAUCAAGUCGGGAAUUUUUGGUAUACAGUGAUGCAUCACAUGUCGGGUUAGGAUGUGUGCAUAUGCAAGGUGGUCAAAUAGUUGCUUACAAGGGUAACUACCCUACACACUAUCUUGAGCUGGCUGCGAUUGUGUUUGCUCUGAAGAUCUAGAGACACUAUUUCUAUGGUGAAAGGUGUAUCAUUUACACCGAUCAAAAAAGUCUCAAAUAUUUGUUAACUCAAAAAGAAUUAAAUCUUCGAUGGUGCAGAUGGGUUGAAUUACUUAAAUAUUAUGAUUGCAGGAUAGAGUACCACCCCGGUAAGGCUAAUGUGGUAGCUGAUGCCCUUAGCCGUAGAGCGAUUACUGAUCUGAGAUCAAUGUUAGCUCGUCUGAGUUUGGUUGAAGAUGGGGGGUUGUUAGCAGAAUUAUAGGUUAAACCAAUUUGGGUGGAGCAUAUUCGAGCUAAAUAGUUGACCGAUGAGUCCUUAGUUCAGCGAUUGUAACAUGUUAGUUCGAACGGGACUUUUGAUUUUAACUUGAACAUCGAUAAUGUGUUGUGCUUCAAAGGUCAGAUUUGUGUAUCUAAUGAUAAAGAGUUGAGGCAUUCGAUCCUACAGGAGGCGCAUAGUAGCCCCUAUGCUAUGCAUCUUGGUAGGAACAAAAUGUAUCGAGAUCUCCGAGAGCUUUAUUGGUGGCCCAAACUGAAACAGGAGGUAGCCGCCUUUGUAUCCCACUGUCUGACGUGUCAAAAGGUUAAGGCUGAACAUCAGUUGCCCUCCGGAUUGCAUCAGCCAAUUAAAAUUUCUCAGCGGAAGUGGGAGCUGGUAACGAUGAAUUUUGUUAGUGGGUUACCUUUAACCCCCACUAAGAAAGAUUCAAUUUGGUCAUCGUUGAUCGGUUGACAAAAUUAGCCCACUUCAUUCCUAUCCGAAUAGAUUACUCCCUACAAAAGUUACCUAAACUGUAUAUUACUAAAAUUGUGAGAUUACACGAGGUUCCAAUCUAAAUUAUCUUUGAUAGAGACCCACGAUUUACAUCUCGGUUCUAGAAGAAACUUUACGAGGCCUUAGACACCCGACUUAAUUUUAGUAUUGCGUAUCACCCUCAGACCGAUGGACAGUCUGACCGAGUCAUUCAGAUUCUGGAAGAUAUGUUUCAGAGUCGUGUGAUAGACUUCUAAGGUAGUUGGGAGAAGUAUCUACUGUUGGCUAAGUUUGUAUAAAACAAGUAUUCAGAUGAAACCCUAAGAGGCCUUGUAUGGCCGUAAGUGCCGUACUAUAUUAUGUUGGAUAGAAUUAAGUGAACGUCGGAUAUUGGGUCCUAAGUUAGUUUCAGAAACUGAGAUUUCUGUGAAAGUGAUUCUUGAUCGCCUAAAAGUAGCCUCUGACCGACAGAAGUCUUAUGCAGAUUUAAAAAGAAAAAAUAUUAAGUAUUCUGUAGGAGAUCAAGUGUUUCUAAAGGUAUCACCCUGGAAAGAGGUCCUUCAAUUUGGACGCAAUGGCAAGCUGAGCCCGAGGUUCAUUGGGCCUUACCGUAUCUUGAAGCGUGUUAGACCAGUUACGUAUCAGUUAAAAUUACUAUUAGAGCUAGAACGAAUUCAUAAUGUGUUUCAUGUCUCGAUGUUGAAACGGUAUCGAUUGGAUACAUUGCACGUUGUUCUUGUUGACGAGAUCGAAUUGCGACCGGAUUUAUCAUUCAAAAAUGAACCUGUCCAAAACUUAGAACGUGAUGUUAAGGUACUGAGGAAGAAACUGUUCCUCUAGUAAAUGUUUUAUGGCAAAACCAUGGUACUAAGGAGACCACGUGGGAACAUGAAGAAUCGAUCCAACAGCAGUAUCCGUAUCUGUUUGAGUCAAGUAAAUUUCGAGGUCAAAAUUUUUUUAGGGGGUGAGAGUUGUAACACCCCAAAAAUUUUGAGAAAUUGAUUGUGAGAAUUUGCAGUAAUUAAGUUUCUGUAUCUAUGGUUGUGUGCUCUACUUUUGUAAUUAAGGUUUUGAGUUCGAGUCACGUCGUUAACUAUUUUUUUUAAACAACUCUUGAUCAUGUGUUAUAUAGUUAAGUACAAUUUAGUGUAAACCUAUGACAAGAAUGAGCCUGCUAGUUUACUAGUUAAGCAUCUGUCUAUAUUCUGUCUAGUUCCGAGUUCAAAUCUUAAGGUAUGUGAUAGGGAACAUUCAUUUUGCUAAGUGCUAGUAUCUCUAACUGGAAGUUAUUAGGAAUUAAAAUUUUCGUCAUCUUCUAUUCGUUUUUUUUUUGUUUUUUUAAUGUCUUUUAUUUUUUCCUUUUUCCUACUUCCCUUUCAUUUUCUUUUCAAUUCUUUAAUUUUCUCCUUCAUUUUAAUCACGGUCAUAAGUAAGUACGGGUCUAGAUGAAGUUAUACGCCGUUAAUUACAUUGAUCAAAAGGUUAGUAAGUAAGUUUCACUGACAAUUCGUUAAAUUCUAGGGUUUAUGUUCUUAAUUGGGCAUACCGAGUGUAUUGUGUAAUCCCUAAUAAUUAGUCGCUUGGUUUCCUCUUAGGCGAAGGUGUUGGGAGUAGCAAACCUCAACUCGACAAAUUGAGCAACCGUUGUUGACUUUUCGAUAUGUUUGAUUUCGUUGAAGGUUUUGUGUCGAAACCUUAAAGAUAAAGUAUUAUGUGUAAAAUGUACGUUAUUGUCGAUAAAGUUGGUUGAUUGAGUUAUUGGAUAGUCGUUUUAGGCUUCAGGGACUCUCUUCGUUAUUGUUACUUUGAAAUCUCUCCAAAUGCGUACCGAAAACCUUAACUUUUACAAGUUUCGAUUGCCAAAAAUGGUGGUUGUCAACACCACACGAGCAUAGGCCGUGUAAGCCACAUGGUCGUGUGACAGGCCGUGUGAGCCACACGGUCAUGUGAUAGGCCAUGUAAGCGACCGUAUAACUCACUGUUCAUCAAUUUAGAGCCACACGGGCAAGGAACACGGGCGUGUGUCCAGUCCGUGUGUGAAAAUAUUAGUGUAAGGUUCACAUAGGCGUGUGUCUAAGCCGUGUAACUCACUGUUUGUGACUUAAGACAACAUGAGCAAGCACAUGGUGAGUCACACGAGCAAGGACAUAGUCGUGUGUCCAGGCCGUGUAACUCUCUGAUUUAUGCUUUAAAACCACACGGGCAAGGACAUGGGCGUGUACCCAGGCCGUAUGGCGUAUAUAAAAGGGCUUGAAAACUAUUUUUCAGGCCGUAAAUGUUACUUAAGACUGAUUUUGAAGUUCCCAUAGUAUGUAUGGUCUGACUUGUGACAUAUGCAUGGAUUCUAUACCUAUAUGUGCACUAUGAUACUUAGUCUGACAUUGAACUAUGCUAUCUACUUGUGGAACAAUUUAGAAUAACUGAAUACAUAUUGUAGAUAUUGGUUCUUUGCAUAUGUAUUGGUUGGGAUAUUUUGAAGAAGGAAGUGAUAUGUUCUAAAUUAGUGGCUAAGCCAUCAUAUGUAUAACUUUGAUCCCGGUGUUUCGCCGCAUUACGAUCUAGCAGCUAAGCUGCAUUUCUGUAAAUGUGUAAGAUAGACAAUGUAUGGUGUGUAGGGUUGGUUGAGCAUUGAAUGCCCUUAACGAUGUGUUGGGAUGGCCGAAGAUGGUGUGUAGUGGAUGAGAAUAUUUGUAUCUAACUCUGAUCUAUUCUGUAUAUCAAACUAAAAUUGUUUCUGCAUCUAAAAUUAAUCUGUCUUGGAUCUGAACUAGAAAUGUUUCUGUUAUCAGAUCGAAUCUUUGAAUAAGGACACUGUUUGGUAAAUGUGUUUUUGUGAACAAAAUUCUUCAUGCACUGAGUUCACAACUCACUUUAGUGUUGGUUGGAUUUCAGGUGAUUCUCAGUCUUGAACGGGUAAGCACCGCGGAAGCUUGGUUUAGCUUUUAUCUUUCUUUUAAAUACUACUUUAGGAAUUUCAGUAAACUAUGAUAGUAGGACUUUGGAAUAUUACAUACUUAACUAAUCGUUGUGAUGAAUAUUAUGCGACGUAUGGUUUAGUUUUAUUGUGUUAUAUGUGUGGUAUUUGAGUAUUGAUAAUGUGACUUCCUAAACUUGGACUGGACGUCUAGGUCGAGUUUAGGGUGUUGCAAAAUUCCUUGUGCUACUCCUACAGUUGGUACCUCUUCGAAAUUUACUAUAUUAAUAUUUUUAGUCGAUUCGCUAAUUGAAAGGUCAAGUUUACUCACGACUUUCUCCAAUAUGAGCAAGCCUGAUGCCUCCGUAUCAAUAAGAGCACUCCUUAUUCGGCCUCUUUGAUUUGUUAUUAGGCUUCCACCUCCUAUUAUGUGGUUUCCUUUACCAUUAUUCUUACCAUUUUCCCCAUUUUCAUUUUUAACUUGUCCAUCUUCCUCAUGGUCUCUGUUAGCUCAAUUAAUCAAACUAAAAUUGCCAAGAGGUGGGUGAAUUGGCUUUUAAAAAAUUUGGUGGAUGUAUUGAAAGAAUAUGAAACAAUGAACACAAAGAUUUAGAGUGGUUCGGCCCAAUUGCCUACUGCACUACCUUAUCUUUCCACAACUAAGAACUUUUCUAAAUUCACUAAUUUGUUCAACCUUUGAGGACAAGGUUUAACCUUACAACCCUCUUAAGAUUUCUACCCCAAAUCUUAAGAUAAACCCUCUCAAAGAAUUAAAAAGAAGCAAACAAAGAGAUAAUCCUAACAAGAUUAGAAUGUCUGCAAAUUAAGCAUAAAUAGAUAAUAAUACACUUGAGCAAAAGAAAGAAAAUGAAAGCUCAUAAGUGUAUACAAGAGAAUUAUGGAAGUAUUGAGUACAAAGGUUGUUUGAUUAAUAAUUUUUCUUGAAUAUGCUUUCUUGUUGUUGUAGGAACUUUCGAAGCUGGUAUUUAUACCCUCUAAUAUAUUUCCAACCUUUGAGGUUGUUGUGGUAGUUAAUAGACUCGUUGGGAUAUGAAAACUAGAGUAUUUAAUACACCUGGAAUAGCGAGUAUCGAUACCAAAUAAAAAUGUAUCAAUAUUUUUUGCAAUAAAUGUUAAAUUCAGUAACCGUUGGAGUUUAACUAUUAAUACCAAAACAAUUUUAUCGAUACUUUAUGAAAAGGUAUCGAUACCUGACUGCCUCUAGACGUUCCAAUGUCUAGAGUAAAAAUCCUACACAAAAGAUGUGAACAAAAGGUAUCUACAAGUAUACAGGUCAAGUUGUAAUAUAGUUACAACGGAGUAUGUAAGUCCUCUAAGGAUCGUACCCAAGGGAGGCGGGCACUAAAUUAGUUCUAAUUUAAACAUAAAUAGAUAUAAUUAAUACUUUAAUUAAAUUAUAGUACGAAAGAUUAAAAGAAGAGUUUUAAUAAACUAUACUAAGAACGUAAAAGAAAAUUAAAUAAAUGAAAAACAAGAAAUCAAAUAAAGAAAUAUGUAUCAAAUCUAGGCAUAGGUGAUUAGCUUGUUCCAGUAAUCAUAAUCAAUUGUCAUCACGGGCUUUCUUAUUCCAUCAACUAGUCAAUACCCCAACAUGAUCUUUCGAUAUGUCCACUGAAAUAGUGAGUCAAUAAAAAAAUACUGAGUCAGCAAGAACUAUUUAUCUUUCGACCUCACAGUCCAGAUUGGUUCAGGGUUUGGACUAAAAAAAAAGUGUUUUCCAUUUGAAUUCUCAAAUGUGGAAAACUUGGCUUUGGUUACUGAUGUACAAAACAACUUUGAUAUGUGGCACUUGAGGUAUGAGCAUAUUCGUUUCAAGAGGCUGAAGUUGUUGGGUCAUUGGAUUACAAAAAAACUAAUUCUCUUGAUUUAUCUGAGGGUUGUAUUUAUAAAAAGCAAAGUAGAAGUCUAUUUCAUGUUGGGAAAGCCUAGAGAGCUUCUACUUGUCUUGAAUUAAUUCAUGAUGACUUAUGUGGUUCAAUGAACAUUGAACCCCUAUUUUUAUUUCUUACUUAUUGUAAAUGAUUCUAGUAGCAUGAGCUAGGUAUAUAUAUAAAUAUAUAUUGAUAAGAUGACUAAAGUUCACAAGUUACAAAAGGUAAAUGCAUAAUUACUCUUACCCUAAAAGGUUUUUAGCUCUACGUUUUGUCCAAAUUGGUGUGUCAUUAUUCUCAUUAGUCUAUAGUAUGCUCUGUAUUUGUUCUCUUAGGAUGUGGAUGCCGUCCAAUAAUGGUUUGAGUGUUUAAUGUAUUGAAAAAAAUGUUUUUUAUCCGAUGAUACAACCAAUCAAUUUGUCUUUAGUUUUAAAAAUACACGAAAGAGAAAAUGCCUACUUGGAGGGAAUUUACUAGUGCUACUCGUAACAUUAAUAAUUUCCUCAUAAUUUCAUUUUCUUGUUGAAAUCUUCUUUCAUAUGUUGAUCUAGUUUUUCUAUUCGAAUUUCUUAUAUGGAGCACCUAUGCUAGUGUCACGGGGUUAAAACUUUAGUCUAGCAAACUGUGCGACCUUAAGUAGUUCUUUUGCUUUAAAUCCACCUAAGCUAGUCUAACCCUCAAAAAAUGAGAAUUCAUAAAGGAACUCUAAGGCGCCGAAAAAAGCAGAAGCAAACUCAAAAGCGAAGAAGCAACAAAAGAACUGAAAAGCCACACAAAGCAAUGCAAACUAGGUGUUUGAGUAAAUACUCUCAAAGUAUAUUUAAUAACUCUAAAUGGGAUGGGAUGAGAUGAUUACAAAUGAGGGGGAAGGCCUCUAUUUAUAGUUGAGCUCCCCUAGAUCCAACGGUACAAUUUAAAUUACAUCAAUGGUCAAGAUUAAACCCUAUCUAUAAGAUAAGAGUCUUAAGGGAUUUAAACUCGAUACAAUCUUAUCCUUAGGAUUUUCAAUAUUCACCAUGGCAACUCUAAUUUUACUACAGUGUUCCACUGGGUUACCAACACCAAAAGUAGAUGGGUUUCUCUGUGACACCUUAUAUCCUACGCAAUUAGAGGAUCCAAAUAUAAAAUGUCACAUUCAAAUGCCGAAACAAACUAUUUUACUAUUUCACUUUAUUGAAAUGGUAGUGUAGUGGUAAAAUCAUUUUUUAAAAAAAAUUGGCAGCAUUUAUGCUUAUUUUAUGUAAAAACCCCCUGCAAAAUUUAGAUUUCACAAUAUAUCCAUAUUCAAAUAAUCUCCCAAGUCAACUCCCAACACUUCGAUAUUUCGAAACAUACCGCAAACUAAGUAUAUCACAUUAAAGUCAUUUAAUUCACUAAUAAUAUUAUAAUUACGGCAACCAAAAGUUUGUUUUUUAUGUCACAAAUACAUAUCUAUAGCCAAAUGACUUUACUAAAAGCGAAGUACAUGCCAACUUGAAACAAAACAAAAUAUACGAACUUUAUUGAGUCUAGGAUUUUUCGGUCGGAUCCUGACGACUCUGAGUACAAAAUCUCAAAAUACACCUAGCCUGCAUAUGAAAACAAGACCAUUCUGUGUGUAUUAAUUUCAAAUGGUAUUACUAUCACUUACUCAAUAUAGCAUAAAAUUUAAAUAAUUGGACUUAGUUGAUUUGUUUCUUCCUUAGACCAAUUCAAGUAUGUUUCAUAUCAAAGCUUAUCCAAUACAUUACUAUACAUAAGUAUCCCAAACAAACCAAAUGCGAUAUUUUAACUAACCAGUCUAUUUUAACGAACUUAUUAACAUUUUAUGCUAACAAUGUAUGCAACCUUAUUCGAUUUUGUCUCAUUUUCUCAUAUUGCAUUACAUUACCAAUUUGAAUCAAACCAUUCUUCAUGUUCAAUAUUUAUGUUCACUAAUACAUAGCUCAGAUCUAAACUAAUUUAUGGAUCCUACUAAUAUUAUAAUUUGGCACCCAGUGCCUCAUUGAUACGUCACAAACUAAACAAAUUGCGCCCAAUGCUCAUCAGUUAAUUUGAACCAAUAAUCAUGCUCAGCAUUUGCCGGUACGUCCGAUGGUUAGUGCACCCAACGCUCAUUCACCUAUAGUCAAAGUAAUUUUAUAUCGGUACAUCCAACGUAAACAAUUCGCACCCUGUACUCAUCGGCUGAGCCGAAGUAGUAAUUGUGAAAGCUAAGGUUGGAAUGUUUGAAGAAAAAUGCGCCUAGCACUCAUCGACUUAUAGUCGAAUCAAUUAUCGUUAUUUUAAUCGAUUCUAUAACUCAUUAAUUAUUCUCAACUUUGCCCAACAAUUACUACAACAACCCAUAGUCUAAUUUAAUUCUCAGUACAAUUUCCAUUCUAUUGAUCUCAACAACAACUCUUCUGUUGAAUGUCAUUUCAUAUAAAACAUGGCAUGAUUUGUCUCAUGUUCAAGCCAAAUGCGCAACUUUACUAAACUAUACUAUUUCAAAUUUUUAUACAAUUUAACUCUUUAUCAAAAUAAUUAAUCGCAAUAUUGUAUUUCUAGUUAGUCACUCAUGUGUAACUUCCUUCAUUUUGCCAACUUACCUAACAAUGAAAUUAAAGGGAAUUUCGAACUAUUUGUUGGUGACUUCAGCUUUUUCCUUCGCUUUUGAAGAAAUUGGAUCGUUAGUAGCUAUGAAUUAACAUAAACAAAUAACACCAUCAAUAAUUCACCCAAUUCAGAGUCAAUUAUUAUCUCAAACAACCUUUAUAUUUCAUUCAAUUUAAAUUCUUAAAAUCAAAAUAAGCAUAACUCGUCAUUCUAAUCAUUGAUUUAUAAUUCGACUUCAUUUCCUUCUAUUUUAAACCCUCUAUUAUCGAUUUCUAACAAAAUCUCAUAACAACUCUACUUGAUAUCCACUUUAUUUUCUCAGGUGAAAAAUCUAACAUUUAACUUCAAAAUCUAGUCAUUUUUCAUGUAUACUCUAAAAAUCUAUUAAUUUAACAUCAAAAACAUAGAAAAAUCAUUAAUAGUAAAUUUCUAAAACAUUAAUAGUUUUAUAAAUUGAUACACAAGUUGGUUAAAUUAUGAUUCUUCAAUCUCAAAAACAUAAAAUUUAUAAGAGAAGUAAUAAAUUACAUUCACCAAUUUGUGGAUUAAAGCUUGAAAACCGUAAGCAAAUUUCCUCUAUUUCUUUUCUCUAUUUUUUUCUCGUGCGUAGAAGGAUGGAGAAGACAAUCUUCUCUCUCCUUCCACUUAAAUCAUUUCAAUUUUAUUUUUUAUUUUUUAUUUUUUAUAAUAAAUAAUAAUAACAUAAGAGCCAGGUGUUUUUUUAGACACAAAUUUGGCAUGUUUUAUUGCUAUCUUAAACUUUUGAGCUAUUAGCAAUUUUAGUUCCUUUAACUAUUUUCAAAUUAAAAUUUAUAGCGAUCUAAGUUUAUAAUUUAAUCCUUGUACUAAAUUAAAUACUCAAAUCAACUAAAUUACUUGUCCUUGAUUCAAAUCAACUAGACUCAAUUCAUUAAAACGAAACCUGAAACCGUACUUUUCAACACCACUGUACCGGGUUGUUACAAUCUCUAUAUGUUCCACAAAUUGAGCUUGAAACAACCCGUUUUUAAUAGUGUCAAAAAUAGUGGUUUCAAGGCCAUAAAUCUCCGUAAAUAUUACGAGUCAAAUAUAGUAAUAUGAUAAAUUUUAUUUGAUAAUUUAUGUUAUUUGAAUGAAAAAUUAGGUUCAAGUGGUAUAUCCCUAAAGUCAAGUGGUUUUAGAAAAGGAGGUAUUGAGAUCUUGUUUCUAUAAACGAGCCCAUAAAUAUUUUAUUAAAUAUUUACGAAGUGUUAUUAGGGUCAUAUUAAAAUUUGGUUAAGAAAUUUUAACGUUUAAAUAGUUAAUUAGGUAAAAAGGAUUAAAUUGUAAAAGUUGCAAAAGUUGGUUUCUAUAAGUUAAAGGUACUAAAAGGUUAAAUUAAUAUGGUUACAAGGGAUUUUAUGGAAAUUGUGCCAAAUCUUAGUAGCAUGCAUAGUUAGUGCUUUGUUUAAUUAAUUUAUAUGUUAUAAUUUUAUAAUAAUAAUUAAAAAGAAACUUAAGGUAAAUAAAAUAAACAAAGCACAUUAUUUUUCUUUAGUUUUUCUUUCUCAUAUUCUCCAAGCCAAAAACACCAUUGUUGAAGGGAGAACUUUCAGCCAUACUUAAUUUCUCAUACAUGGUAUGUGUUUGAUGCCCGCUUUUAGUAAUUUUUUAUGGUUUUGAGUUCGUAUUAGCUUAAUUUAACUAGUUCGGGAGUCAAUUUGUAAAGUUGUUAAAAUUCUAGGGACUUGCCAUGAAUGAGUUUGAAGUGUUUUUUCUUAUUUUAAUUGAUAGAUUAUUAAAGUGGUAGUUAAAUAUAAGUAUUUUGUUAAGCGAUUCUUAGUGAUUUUAAUGUCUAGGGAGUAAAUUGUUGAAAUAGUAAAAUUCAAUGUAAAUUGUGUGAAGUGAGGAAAAACAUGGGCUGUUUGUGAACUUAGUAAGAAUUAACUAGCAUGGUCUUUAGAUAAAAAUGAUGAAUUUGCAAGUUUCGGGUUUAGGGACUAAAUUACAUAAAAGGUAAAUCAUUGGGGGUAAACUUAUAAAUUUCUCAUUGAUAAGGUUAUAAGUUGUAUUAAUUAUAUUAAGUGAUUUGAAUGGUUUAAUUGAAUAAAAAUUAUUAUUUAGAUCAAGAAUCGAAUUAAAAGGAUCUAAAUCGAGAAAAAGCUAAUGUGUCGGAUUAAUCAAGGUAAGUUUGUAUUUCAUUUUAAAAUAUUACCUUUGAAUUUAUAAAUUUAAUUGAUAUCUUUACAUAUGUAUCAAUGAAUUGGUGUUGAGAUUGUCUUGAUUGAGAAAAGGAAAAGUCUGUGAUUGAAAUACAUCAUGGUAUUAUACUCGAAAAGGAAAAAGACCAUGGUUGAAAGAUACAAUGGCAUUAUAUUCGGUCUUUCCGAAUCAAUGAAAAAGUUGAAAAGGAUGUUAUCUGAAAAGGAUAUCAAAUGAGAAAGUUGAAAAGGAUAUUAUCCGAAAAGGAUAUAAAUGAAAAGAUCGAAAAGGAUAGCAAUGAAAAGGUCGAUAACUCAUCCUUCAACCAUUUGCAGGUAAUAUGUUUCAGGUGAGAUAUGUACCAUAAGUAUGAAAAUGAGAUGAAUGUUUUGAUUAGUAUAGUUUGAUAAUGAAUAUAAAUCUCUUGGUGUAAUUAUAUGUUUCAUAUGUCUAUAAAUAUGUUAUCUAGUUAUGUUUGUGGUGUGUUUAGAUAAUUAAAUGGUUAUCUGAGUAUUUUCUGAGUAUUCGAUGUUGUUUCAUUUGAUUCAACGGGUCAUUCAGGUUUAAAAUUAAAAGGUACGUAUAUGAAAUGAGCUACAUUAUUGAGAAUACGGAACGGAAAACAUAAUAUGUAUAAUUGGAAGGAAAAAAAGUAAGAAAUGGAUUAUAUGAUGGAUGAUUUAUAUAUUGAAAUCUUUUACAUGAUAUGUGCCAUGUUUCAUUGGUUAAUAUGUCCUUAAAUGUAUCUACUAACUAUGUGAAGUAUUGUGGAUAGGAAAGAAGAAUAUCCAUAUGAUCGAAUGAGUAAUGUUUAAUGGUUUAAUCAUUUUGUGUUCAGUAAGUUUAAGUUUUCGUUAUACAAGCUUACUAAUGACUAGUUGCUUAUGUAGUUGUUUUUCUCUAUCUUGUAAGUCAUCGAAAAACUCAAUCGGUUGAAAUCUCGUUGAAACACAAUCACACUAUCCAUUUGUCAUAUUGGUAUUUUUGGUUGUUUUGGUUAACAGUUGUAAAUGGCAUGUAAUAAGAGUUUAUUUUAUGUUAUUUACCAAUGUGAUAUGGUUUAAGUUUAUUUGCCUAUAUGUCAUAAUGUGGGCUUAUAAAUGUAUAUGUAAGUAUGGGUUUUAGUCACUCGUGAAUGCCUUAUGAUUUAGAUGGCUUUUGGUUCAUUGAAGUGUGAAUGAAGUGGUUAAAGGGUAGAUGUGUGAUGUAAGUUUAAAAUAUGAAUUUAUGGCAUUGAGCGUGAGUUUAUUUGAAUGUUAAUUUGUGGUACCAAUGAGGGUACAUUGGAUAGACAUUUAGAUUAAAUGAUAUAUGUGUGUUUUGGUAUGUAAUAAGGCAUGAAUGUUGAUUUGAUAACUUGGUUUGUUUUGAGUUUGUUCCAAGCUUAUGUGUGCCUUAAUGUUGUUAGUUAAUGAAUUGAAAAUGAAAGUAAAAAUAUAUGGUAUGUAACAUUUAUGUAUGCUCAUAUGAAAGUAGGUAAAAUAUGGUUGAAUGGUAUGCUUUCAAACGAUUAUUUGGUAUAUAUGAUUUAUGCUUAAUGAAUGAACUUGAAAUGUUGAAUUGAGUGAAGUUGAUGUGUUAAAUUGUGGUGUCAAUUGAAGGUACCUUGGUUAGGCACCUAAGUUGGUUCAUUUUGGUAUGUUUUUGGUAUGUUGUAAAGUGUUUUGGUCAUGUGAAAAUGAUUGGAAAUGGUAUGGUUUGUUGUGCAAGAAAAAUUUAAUGUUUUGGCUUGUCUAGGGGCAAAUUAUGUUGCACAUGGCCUGGGACACAAUUACCCCACACAAUCGUGUGUUUCAAGUCAAUAUGCUAAACGGUCUAAGACAAAACCUGCAGCACGGCUGUGUGGCUCAACAUUGAAUGCACAUAACGUCUGGCACACAGUUUGCGACACGAUUAUGUGACCCUACUUUGAAUGCCCAUACGGGUGAACACACGGGCUGGGACAUGGCCGUGUGUCCAGAUUUUGAAUAUCCACACGGUUUGGGCCAUGUCACACGGCCGUGUGACCACUAUUUUCAAGUUUUUCUAAAAUUUUCUAUUUUGUUUCAAAUUUAUCCCUGAUUUUUUUCAAGUUAUUUUUAGGGCCCCGAAGGCUUAGUCUAAGGCUCGUAAGAGUAUUUUUACUAUGAUUAUAUUAAGCUACAUAAUUAUUUCUGUUUUGAAGUUAAAUGUUCUAAUUUGUACGGUAAUGCUUUGUAACUCUAAUUUAGCAACUGAUACAGGUUAGGGUAUUAUAGGGCCAGUUCAAAUGGGUCAAACGAACCUCAUUUAAUUAGUUGACCUCUAUGGGAUGAUCUGUGUGCAUUCUUUAUGGGCUUUGAACAACGACCCGUGACACUCUCCCCCACCCAUUCUCGCAACGCCUUUGUCAUGUCCUUGAAAUGACACUAGCUUAACUCAUUUUGGAACUUCCUCAAUGCCUCGAUUGAUUCCCAACUAGUCUCUUUGUCAAGUAAUCCCUUCUCUCAAAACCUUUGCCUCGGCUUAUAUCUUUUUCGUUAUCUAACUUGAACUAUUUCUCUCUUUUGUACAUCUUGAUUACAAGAGGCCGUCGCUCUUAGUUGCCAUAUUGCGACUCACCUCAAUUGGGAUCCCCUUGAUCCUUACAAAUAAGCUUCGGCACACCCACAUUGAACACCAAGUUAACCUUGAGUAUUGUCGCUAACUCUGGUUUGUAAGCCAUUGGCUUACCCACUUUAGAACACUAAAAGGGUCCCUAUGCCUUUUCCCAGCCAAUGGUAAGUCAUAAUGUAAAACACUUGGAAAGUGUUUGAAAUGUCCCUCACUCGUCGCAUUUACUCUGUUCAACUGCCCAGCUUGCAUCAACACUUUUACCACAAAGUUUGAUGCACAACCCACAUCUCUCAUAGGUGGUAGCUCCACUAAUAACUCAAAAAGCUUGAUAUUGCUUUUCUGCACCUCUAGCAUUUCCAAGAAGGUCUUCGUAGCACUCCAAUCUAUCGAGUCAUUAUUCCCACCACACAGAACAUCCUUAACUAGUUGGAUUACCGACAAUACCUUGGUUUCAUCCCUUAUGUCUCAGCUCACCGACACUACACAUUGUUGUCGUCGAGUAUUUAAUAUUCAUAUACAAUCGACAAAAGGAACCAAAAGAUCAUUAAUCUUGUUAAGGAAAUUCAAGCCAAGCACGAAGUUAUAAUCAAAAUGAAUUACCUCAAAGUCUUCCUUUCCUUCCCACUCACCGAUUUGUAGCUCAAUUUCUUAUGCUACUCCUACAGUUGGGACCUCUUCAGAAUUUACUAUCUUAAUCUUUUUAGUCGAUUUGCUAACUGAAAGAACAAGUUUACUCACGAAUUUCUCCAAUAUGAACAAGUCUGAUACCCCCGUAUUAAAAAGAGCACUCCUAUUUCAGCCUCUUUGGUUUGUUGUUAAGCUUCCACAUCCAAUUAUGUGGUUUCCUAUUACCACUAUUCUUACCAUUGCCCUUGUUUCCAUUUUUAACUUGCCCCUCUCCCUUAUGGUCUCCCCCAUCAUUUCCCUUCUCUUUAGACUUGGAAGAUUCGAACUUGUCUAUCCUCAGGCCAAACACAAUAAAGGACUUCGUCUCGUCCAUAGCUACGGUAAGUUUAAUGAUUCCUUAUUGGCACAACUCCUAUUUUACUCAUGGUUUUAACCCAUCCUUGAACAAAUAGAUUGCUUCUUUCUCACUCAAGUUAGAGAUUUGAAACAUCAAUUCAUUGAAGUAUUUGACAUACUCCUAAUUAGUGCCUUGUUGCGUAAGUCAACAAAACUUAGCUCGAGCCUCCUUCUCGGCAUACCGUGGGUAAAACUAUUUUUUCAAUUCUUUUUGAAACUUCUCCCAGGUCCCAAUCGCGGUCCCACCUCGUUUCUCAUAUGUGGAUCUAUGACGCCACCAUAAGAGAGCGACAUCAGUAAAAUAAAUUGUAACAGUAUUUACCUUAGUAGCAUCAUCCUCAAUGCCUAUCGCACUGAAGUAUUGUUUCAUACUUUGGAGAAAAUUGUCCACAUCCCUCAUGAACCUUGUACCCUCCCCUUAAACUCUUUUGGCUUGAGGACAUUCAUCUUACGCUACUUAGGAACUAAAUCCAACACCCACAGCAGUUCUACACAUAACAAGCUCUCUCUUGAGCUCCACAAUUUUUGACACUAUGGCUUCAGUUUCUUUAUUCAAAGCCACAACUAUAACUUCGAGAGCAUUAUUCCUCUUAGUCAACUUCUUGAUAUGAUCAUCCGUGGCGACAUUAAGCCUAUUUUAUUGCAUCCUGAUUGGAACUGAGAGCAUCUGCUAUAUAGUCCCUGAGUUACUCUUACAUCAAUUUAACUAAUCGAUGCAUCCCUCAACUACCUCAAGUGUUUCCUUUACAUCACCCUUGAAUUUCUCAAAAUUGACAUUCGAUUUUUCCAAAGUCGACACAGUAUCCCUCAAUCUGCUAUUUUUCCUAGUCCUCUCAUGAGUUUCCAUUAAGACAUUCUGCUCGCCUAUUCUUUUCGUCAUCUCAACCAAUACCUUCAAACAUUGGCACUGAUACCAACUAUCAUAGGGAUAGAUCUUUCAUCUAACAAAUCAUGCGGCCUUAAGCGAUUUAUUUACUUCAAAUCCAUCUAAGUUAGCCUAACUCUCAAAAAUGAGAAUUCAUAAAGGAAAUUCUUUAAAGAACCAAAAUAAAGCAAAAGCAAACUCAAAAGUGAAGGAGCAGCGAAAGAAUUGAAAAGCCACACAAAGCAAUGCACACUAUGUGUUUGAGUAAAUUCUCUCAAAGUAUAUUUAAUAACUCUGAAUAGGAUGGGAUGGGAUGAUUACAAAUAAGGGGGAAUGUCUCUACUUAUAGUUGAGUUCCCCUAGAUCCAAUGAUACAAUUUAAAUUACACCGAUGUUUAAGAUUAAAACCUAUCUACAAUAUAAGAGUCCUAAUAGAUUUAAACUCUAUACAAUCUUAUCCUUUAUGAUUUUACAAUAUUCACCAUGGUAAUUGUAACAGCUCGAUUUUGGGUCUAGUCGGAACAGUGGUUUUUGGACCACAAAUCCGACGAGGAAAAAUGUAAUGGCCUGAAUUUUCAGAGGUGUCGAAACGGUGAUUCGAGAUCACUAAAUUCGACAAAUGGGUAGAAAAUAUUAUUAAUUUAGUGAGUAUAAGUUAAAUGUGAAGUUAGGAAAUUUUUUGAAAUAGUGAAUAGUACACUAGAAAUAAAUAUUAAAAUAAUUAGAAUCAAAAAUGAGGUAUCGAGACCUCGAGGAUUUUAAACUGAGCCAUAAAUAUUUUUAUAAAUAUUUAUGUAGUGUUAAAAAUUUAGUAUUAAAGUUUCGUUAAAAAAUUUUAAAGUUCCGAUAAUUAAUUGAACAAAAAGGACUAAAUUGUAACAAAUGCAAAAUUAUGGGAAAUGAUUAAAUAGCUUAAAUGAUAAAAGGAAGAGGGCUUAAAAGGCAAAUAGACCUAAGGCUGGACGGCAAAGGCAUGAAAUUAGCAACAAAGUAAGGAGAAUUAAGGGAAAAAUUGGAAUAUUGCAAAAUUUACUUAAUAAAGUUAGGACCAAAGUGGAAUUAUCUAGAUUUCUCUUUAUUUUUCUGCAUUCUCAUCAGAAAAAACACCAUAGAAGGGUUUCCUUAAGCUGGUUCUUCCUAUUUUUACUGCAGGUAAGUUCAAUUCUUGAUUAUUUCUUGAAAAUUUUGUGUUUUUGUGACUUUUACAACUAGGCCCAGUUAUUGUAUUCAUUAGUUUUUGAUUCUAUGAAAGAAGUUGAAAGUUGCUAUAAAUACAUGCUGGAAGUAUAUGAUGAUUUAGCAUGGAAUUAGAGCUUUAAAUUGUUCAUAUGCUGAUUUUAUUGAAAGAAUUGAAUAGAAAGUGAAUGUUUGGGACCUAAUAGUAAAAGAGUUUGAAGAUAGAGUUAUAUGUGGAAAUUCUGAAUUUCAAUAGUUGUGAAACAACUUAUAAUGUCUAGGUAAAGUAUUAAUUGAGAAAAUUAAAUUAAUUAAGGGGUUAAUUGAUAAAGGACCGAAUUGUAUAAACUGUGAAAUUUGGGGCAAAAGGAAAUCAACAUUUUGCACUAAAGCAAUUUUGGACAGCAGCAGUAGUAUAACUUUGAAAAAUCACCAAAAAUUUUGGGAAUUGAAUUAGAGGGUGAAUAAAAUAUGAAAUUAAAGUUCAUUGAGUCUAGUUUCUCAUAGAAGAAACAGUGUAAGCAAUGGAAUUGUAAAUCAUGAGAUAUAAUAAAUUUUGUGAGACAAUGUCAGAAUGAUUUCGGGUUCCCUAUUCUGACUUUGGAAAAUCAUCAAAAAUUGAAUAAAAAUAAUUAUGAGUUAUAAUUUAUAUGAUUAGAAUCCUUAAUGAGUCUAUUUUCAAAAAAAAUAAACGGAAACAUCAUCCGAAUUCUGUACAAUUAGAUAAUUCAUUUUUAGUGAAGAGUGGUCGGAACUGUCAGACAGCGAAACAGGGGAAACUUUAAAUAAUAAACUGUACUAUUUGGCUGAAUCAAAAAUUCUGAAAAUUUUCUGGUAAGAAGGUAUGUGAGUCUAGUAAUUUUCAGGGAAAAUUAACGGAUCUUAAUUUUGAGCUCUGUAGCUUCGGAUAAAAAUAAUUUAGUGACUCUAACUCGGAUAAACAGCUUUGAAUAUACAUGUGAGUGAAUAGUGAAAUUAUAGCUAGUGUUGUUUAAGUGUGUUAUACACAUUAAGAAUGUGGAAUGGAGAGGAGGAGGAGGAGGAAAAAUUGGGAAAUAUAUGAAUGAUUUGUGUAUAAUUGGUCAUAUGCUUAAUUAUAAUUGAUAAACGAUGAAAUAGAAAUGAUGCAUAUAUUUGUGCAGUAUUGGUCAUGGUUUAAGCUCAUGUGGGAAAAUAAAGUUUAUAGUACGUGUGUAUUGUAUUUUUGGUAUAUGAUUUGGCAUGAAGUAAUGUCGUGAAUGGGUAUUGAAUUAACACAUGUUGGAAAGUUUGAUUUAUGAAUAAAUAUUGUGAUCAUGAAAGGGGUGGUAAGGUUUAAAUUAUGAAAUCUUUAGUGAAAUGGUUUAUUAUGUGAUUAUUUCCAAAAAGAAUUAUGUUUCAAUGUACUAGUUUGCGACUAUGGUUGAAUGAUAUGUUUAUAUCUUGUGUGAUGUGAAUAGGAAACGAGUGUGGAAAGGUAAUGAAAUAGUAAGUUCAUAUGGUUGAAAAUUAAUGAUUAAAUGUUAAUUUCAUGAAUUAUAUAAUGUAUGAUGAGAUAUAUUUAUUUUUGAAAUGAGAAUAAAAUAAAAAUGCGAAAACCGAAUAAAUGAUCAAAUUGAGCGGAACGCCAGAUUUGAGUACUUCUGAUCAGUGACAAAGUGAUAAGUGGUAGCUUUAGCUACACUUAUCUGAUCAAGAGACAAAGUGAUAAGUGGUAGCUUUAGCUACACUUAUCUGAUCAAGUGACAAAGUGAUAAGUGGUAGCUUUAAGUGGUAGCUUUAGCUACACUUAUCUGAUCAAAUGACAAAGUGAUAAGUGGUAGCUUUAGCUACACUUAUCUGAUCAAGUGACAAAGUGAUAAGUGGUAGCUUUAGCUACACUUAUCUGAUCAAGUGACAAAGUGAUAAGUGGUAGCCUAGCUACACUUAUCUGAUCAGGGACAAGUGAUAAGUGGUCAUACAUAAGACCGUAGUUAUACUAUGGCAAAGUGGAAGUGAAGUACUCAAUUUUCCAUAACCGUUCCCUAAUUUGAUAUGGAUGGUAAGUGACAAAUGGGCCCAAAAGAAUUAAAGUAAAUGGUUAAGUGGUAGUGUAUUUAUACCAGGAUGAUGUUGUUAUUUUAAAGUGACAUUUUCAUUGCAAAAUUGAGAAUUUCAUAAAUGUGUUAUUGAAUGGUAUAAUCGAUAAACGUUGAGUUAAAUGGUAAGUAUGUAUUAGUGUUGAACUUAAUGUCAUUGAGUUGUACGUGAAUUAAAUGGAAAUUGCUAGUGAUAUGAUUUAAAUUGUGAGCAUGAGAAAUUGUGAAUUGAAUUGAAUGGAAAUGAAGCAUUGAAUUGCAUGAGUAUGUAUCGGGUCUCAUAGGCCCUAAUUAUUAUGAUUAUAAUAUUUUGAGGAUAUAUUGUGAAAAGUUAUAGAAGCAUGUUAAUUAUUUUGAAAGUUUUAAUUUAGAUGAAAUUUUAUAACUCGGUUAAAUACAUUUACAAGUGUAUGUGUUUUAGUAAUGCCUCGUACCCUAUUCCGGUGUUGGAUACGGGUAAGGGGUGUUACAGUAACUCUAAUUUUAUUGGAGUGUUCCAUUGGGCCACCAAGACUUCAAAUAGAUGAACUUCUCCAUAUGUUCCACGAGUCGGGCCAGUUCAAGUGAGUCAAAUGAGCCUCAUUUAAUUAGUUGACCUUCAUGAGAUGCUCUAUGUGCAUUCGUUAUGGGCUUUGAUCUGCUACCUGUGACACUAGCAUCUCAUUCCUUCUAUGCCUUCUUAAAGUGAUGUGAUAUGUGUUGAUGCUCAUUGAUCUUAUUAGCAUUAUUUCUUUAUCUUUGUCUUUCACUUUAGUGAAGUCCCAACUAGCAUAUGCUUUUUUUAUUUGUUUAAUGUAUUCCUCUGCUUCCUAGAUUAUUGUGAAAGGGUUUGGAUUGACUCGUUCAUAAUGAAAUACCCAAUUUUAGUCUGGGCUCACAAAAAAAUAAUAAACCCAAAAUAAUAAAACAAAGUCUAAGUCCAGUACAAAAUUAUAUCAUUUGGCCCGAUCGGAAUGGCCCAUUACUUGAAAAGGUUGAAGGUCCAUCUACAAGCUUAUGGAAACAUAAUCUUCAAGGAUAUUCAAUCUUAGAUAUGAUAUGCAAUCUUAGAUAUGAUAUAUGCAAUCUUAGAAGAUAUGAUUUUGUAAUAUUAGAGAUUUAAUUUGUAGAUACUCUUUAAUCUUAGCCUUUGAUGUAAUUGAUCUGUACCGUUGGAUUUGGGGAGGCUCAACUAUAAAUAGAGGUCUCUCCCUUCAUUGUAGAGGACUGGAGUUGGGAGUAAUAAUAAUUCUUAAGAGUAUUCACUCAAAUCUCUCUCUCUCUUACGUUCUUAUUUUCUUUGGCUUGUUCUUAUUUUGUUGAUUUAUGUAUAAUUUAUUUAUUGAUUUGUAUAUUAUUGAUUUCAAAUCUCUUUUUCCCUUUUUAUUCAUUUUCAAAUUCAUUAUUUUCAAAUUUUUUUACAUUUUAUUUUGCCUUAUAUUUUUUUAUACUCUUUGUUUUAAAUUUAUUGGUCUUUUAUUAUUGAUGCUAUUUAAUCCUCUAUUUGUUAUUUUAGUUUUUUUAUUAAAUUAAUUAUUUUAAUAUUAUUAAUACUAUUAUGUGACAUCAUUAAUCUUGUAUCAUUAUUAUUUACUUUUUUAUGCCUCUAAAUUUCAAAUUUUGUUAUAUAUAUGUAUGUAUACAUACAUACGUUUUAUAAUAUAUACAUAUACGUACACAUUUUUUUAUUUUUUAUAAAUAUAUAUACACAUACUUUUAUAUAUUUUCUAUGUUUCAUAAUUUUAUAUACAUACUUUUUUUACAUAUUAAAAUAUGUACAUAUAUAUUUUUAUAUUUUAUAAUUUUUAGCCAAAUUCGUAUAAAGAGAAUUUUGAAAAAUAAAGACAAUACUCGGUAUUUGGAAUCUUCGAGAGGAUUGAGCCCUAACGUAUUGGGUUCCAACUCUUUCGUUGAAUCUGAAUAAUCGAGAAUGCUCUUUAAUCAAAACAUAAAUAAAAAGCUCAUUAUCGAGAAUUAAAUACGUUGUGUCCUAACGCAUUGGAUAUGACACGUUGUUUUCUCGAUAUGAGGAUUUUUUCUAAAAAUAAUAAAGGUAAUAUUCAAUGUUUAGAAUUUUGAGAAAUUGUGCCCUAACGUAUUGGGCUGCGAUUUUUUCAUCUGACUUAAACAAUUGAAUAUCCUUGUAAAUUUUAUUGCACGAGUUUUUUUUGGACAAGCUCGUUUUUGAGGAAGUGAAAUAUCAUGCCCUAACUCAUUGGGUGUGACAUUUUCUCUUUUCGAAAUGAGAUGGUCUUAUCGAGUAACUUGUUUUAUAUAAGUUUUUAAAAAAAAACAAAAGAUCGUAUUUUAAAUCUAUUCAAAGUUUUCAAUUUUCGACAUUAAGACAUUAAUUAAUUAACUAGGUACCAAUUUUUGGACGUUAUGAGGGUGUUAAUCCUUCCUCGUACGUAACCGACUCCCGAACCCGUUUUUCUGAAUUUCAUGGACCAAAAUUGUUGUUUUAAUAAAGUCAAAUUGCUUAUUAAAAAUAACCACUUUUUGAGGUGACCCGAUCACACCUAAAUAAAAAAGAUCGGUGGCGACUCCCAUUUUCAUUUUUUUAAAAAAUCCAAGUCGACCCCAUUUUUCAAAAUAAAAAUGGUGUCAACACAUAAAUUACUUUGUUUCUUUGCACCCUAUUUUCCAUAAUAUAAGUUGCCAACCCUAUAAGCUCAUUUGACACAAAUUAUUUGCCUCAUAGUGUAAGUUUCAUGAUUUGUAGGAUCCAUUCUUUCACUUAGCUUAUAAUGAUUUCCCCGGUGCGAAUCUUGUAUUGUGAGCCAAACCACACUAUUUCGACAAAAUUACAUUCUCCAAAAAGAUGUUUUCCAUCCUCUUCAAUUUUAACAUUAAAAUAAAUAAUUUGUAAGAAUUUAUUAAUAUUAUUAUUUAAAUUAUAAUAUAUUAAUAUUAACAUUCAAAUCAUGAUGAAUUUUUAUAUUAUUUUAAUAUUAAUUUUUUUAAAAUUAAAUAACAUUAAUGUAACUAAUUCUAAAUUAAUUAAAUAUUUUUUAAAAUAUUUAUAAUUACAUUAUUUUUAAAUUUAUUAAAUAUUUUUUUGAAGAAAUUCAUUAAAAAUUAAAAAAAACCUAAUAUUAUAAAAAAGAAAAAAAGUGCAUUGUAUAUGAAUACAAACUAGUUUUGACUUUAAAUAAGGAACUCUACACCAAAAGGAACGACCAAGAAUCAGCAAACGGAGAGAAAUUUCCAAAACUUCCAAGUCCUCGAACGGAGAAAAUAAGUGCAGCUUUAAAAUUGAACCAAAGCUGUCUGCUCACGUGGAGCAGUUGACAUUUAUGUGUUUGUGGGAUUAAUUGCUUGCAAGGUUCAUCUAUGUUUGGCAUGUUUACAAUCAGGUCUUUUUCUUCGUUUAGCACUUUUUUUUUUUAAAUCUAGUUUCAAAUUUAAUUAAUUUUGUUUAUCUGGUUUCUGCUUCAUUAUUCAAUUUUUUAUUUAUUUCAUUCUUGGUUAAUUAUUUUUUCUUGAUGAAAUUUAUAUGUUACAGGGAUUAUUAAUUGUUCAUUACUGCCCAAGCAUAUUUAGCGUUGUUUUUUUAUUUCAUAUUUGGUUUUGAACCUUGUUUAAUAUCUAUGUUAAUCUUUUGUUUGAUUUCUUAAUUGAAGUCAUUAAUUUAUGAAACUUUGGUUAAAUAACUUAGAAAGCCCUAAUAAAAAUGUCAUAUAGUUUCUUUGCAAUACUGAACUUCCAAACCAAACCCAGUAUAUCAAAUCUAUUUUUCUGGCUAACCACGAUAGUCUUAAAUUGGUCACCGGUGAUUCAGACUUGGACGUGAGGAUAUAAAAUUUUAAGCUUAUUUUUUAAGUUUAGGUUCAGCUCAGCUCGAAAAAUAGACCUAAAAGUUCACUCAAACUUGACUCAAAUUAAAAAUGCUAAAAUUGAGUCUUACCCGCCUGUAUUAAUUUUUUUUAGAUUAUUUUUUAUAUAAAAUAAAUUUUAAAAAUAUAAUACGUUAAAUACACUAAAAAUAUUAAAAUAAAUAUUUCUCAAUAAAUUAAAAAUAUAUUUAAAAAAAUUUAUAUUUAAAUAACAUUAAAAUAAUUAUAACUUAACAAACAAAUACCUUAAAAUAAUAACAAAAUUAACAAUAAAUCCAAAUAAUGAUAACAAAAUAAUAGUAAUAUAAUAAUAAAAUAGUAGUAAAACAAACAACGAAUCAAAAAUAAAAUAGCUGAUUCAAGGCACGGACCAAAAAAUUCUACUUGAGACCUAGCCCAUUUAAGCCAUUUUUGAACUUAUAUUUUUUUCUAAAUUUUUUCUCUUUUUGAACUCUAAUCCUAACGUUACUUAUAUUUUCAUAUCUAACUUGUUAGGAACUUUUUCAAAUCGUGAUGACAAUUACAAUAAUUGUCUAAUCUUACUGCACAUAUGAAAUCAUAAAGAAUUACAACAAAAUCCUAAAAUCCAAAUUUUAGUUUUUGCCCUGAAUUACUAGCUUAAUGGAAGGCCAAAUCAUUUGUGCAAAAACAAUAUAAUGAAACACGGAAAAGCAAAGCCCAUUAUGAACCAAAGUCUUAAAUGAUCCGACCCACACCACAAGCCGACCCGAAAUAUAAUUUUCCCUUUUUUGGGUAUGUUUUUUUUCUAUUCCUUCGGUCGAUUGAGCUGACGGCUUUUCUUUGUUUUCCCCUUCAGAAUUCAUAUAGAUACAGAGAACCAAAGUUGAAAAAAAAAAACAUACACAUCUAAAUCUUUAAGGCUUCAGCUUCUCUUUCUCUGUUUCGACUCUGUGGAGUAAAUUUGGGAUCGAUGGCGGCCUUGCAAUACCUAGACUCUCUUCGAAAUGAGCAUCCAGAGCUAGCCGACUGGUAUAAUUCUCUUGCAGAUCUGUAUCAAAAGAAGCUCUGGCAUCAGCUCACUCUCAAGCUUGAGCAGUUCGUUGCUCUCACCGUCUUCCAGGUCUCUCUCUCUCUCUCUCUAUAUAUAUUCCGUGUUGUUUGGGUUUAGAGUUCGUAGAUCUCUUUUAUAUUAUGGUUUUAAGAAUUUAGGAGUUAGGGUUUUUGAAUGGAGCUGGUUACUUUUUUCUUUUCUUUUUGUUUUUUCCCUAGGGGUUUAUAGUAGAAUUUGGAUCUCAUUGUCGAGGAUUUAUUAGGGUUUUUAAUACUACUCUUACCUUUUUGUUUUUAUUUUACUUUUUACUAUUUAGUCUUAAAUUUGAAACGAAAUAAAUAAGAAUUGUUUAUACUUUAUUGCUUUGAUGUUCAACAACUCGGAGCUUAUUAAAGAAACUAUACUCACUUGGGUUUUGCCUUUAAUUUUUUUUAUUGUAAUGUUUUUGCAUAGAAUUGUUGCUAACUUGUAGUAAAAAAAGAAUUAGUGGAAAUCUUCAGUUUUGCAUGAAUUGUAUGCUGGAUAAAGUACAUGAAUAACAAUAAUUAGCAUCUAAAGCUCUGGCAUGUUUAUUUUAGGGAAAAAUUCUUCUCUGAAUUGUAGAAAUUUGAAGUGUGGUGAUGUUAUGUAACUUAGGGAUGGCAAUGGAUAAUGCGGAUUGGGAUAUUUGUGGACAUCCAACUUGCUUUUUAUAGAUUCAAAUUUUGUGGAUUCUGAUAAUAUUCAGAUUCAGAAAUUCUAAUUACUAUCCAGCUAUUCAAAGCUGAUGCAGAUUUUAACAUUCGGUAUUCAUUAUCCGAAUCCACUUUACUUUCACUGGUAAUGGAUGUGGAUUUGGAUAAUAGGUAUGCGAAUUCACUUUACGUAUAUGAAUAACGAUUCGGAUAUCCAAAUCCAUUAUCCUUUUUACUUUUUGAAAUUUUUAUUUAAAAAACAUUUUUGUACUUAUUUAGCCAAGUCUGUUAUUUGACUAAUAAUUUAAUUAAUUUGAUUUCAGAUUUGGAUAGUAAUACUCAUAUUUAAGCUGCUUAUAAUGAUUUGGAUUUUAAAGCAGAUUUGCGGACUCGAAUCCAAAUUUUGCUGAAAUUACAGAUAUCUAACCCGUUGCCAUCCCUAGUUAUGUUCCUUUACACCUCUUGUUUUCGUAGAGUACAUCUGGAAAUUUCAGUUGUGGUUUCCUACUGCUCUCGUGUCCCUCAGUGAAUAAUGCAUGGAUAACUAAUCUGAAGUGUGGUUUACUUGAUCAUUUUCAUUUACAAGAAACUCGGCUUUCUAUUUGUUUUAGUGAUUCAUAUGUACGUAAAUAAUAUGGUAGCAAAUGAACUAAUUGCACCCCAUGUGCUAGAUAUUGGCUAGGUCAUCUAACUUCCUAUGGCACUUGUUUCUCGCAAAUUUCAGGCUGGAGAUGCAUUGAUAAAGUUGUAUCGUAACUUUAUCACUGACUUUGAGACGAAGAUUAAUCCUCUCAAGCUUGCACAUUUCGCUGUUAUAGUUUCUCAGCAGUACGCAGAGAAAGAGGCUGCUAUUAGUUUCCUUGAAGGGGUGAUUGAAAAGCUUCAGGCUACUAAGGAGCAGCGCAUAGAAGAGCCAAUUCUUUAUAUUAAGAUGCAAAUUUCCAAAUUCAAGCUUGAGCAAGGUGAUCAAAAGGAGUGCAAGAAACUUCUUGAAGAUGGGAAGAGUACCCUUGACGGUAUGACUGACAUAGAUCCAUCUGUAUAUGCUACCUAUUACUGGGUUUCAUCUCAAUACCAUAAAUUUCGCCAAGAAUUUGCUGAGUUCUACAGAAGUGCUCUCCUUUAUCUUGCAUACACAUCAGUGGAGUCUCUCUCAGAAUCUUUUAAGCUGGUAUGUUUCUAUGUGUUCUCUGCCAGUCCAAUAGUACUGCCUUGUGAUAUUAUUGGAGCUCAUUAAGUUUACUCUUUUUUCUGUUUUUUAAUAUAUUUUAGGCUGUGUAGAGUUGAAUAUGGUUAUUGGAAGUCUAACACUGUACCAACAAGCCAUUUUACUCAUAUCAAGCUUUUUUGUUAAAAGUUCUUGUUAUUCAGAGUCCCCCUGCUUUUUUUUUCUUGUAAUUAUCAUUUUAUCAACCUAUUCAUCUAACAGCAGUGCCUCCGAAGUCUGAUGGCUGAUGUGCUUAAAUAUUCUGUUUUCCAGCCCCUUACACCCCAGUCAUAAUAUUGAUGGAAAUAAAUGAACUAAAGAAAUUGCUAGGAAUAUAUUUGUCCAUUGACUUCAUUUCAUUUAAUUUUAUUUGAACUCUUUUGAUUUAGGAUUUGGCAUUUGAUCUGUCCCUUUCUGCUCUUUUGGGAGAUAACAUCUACAACUUUGGAGAACUCCUUGCUCAUCCAAUUGUAAGCACAUAUUUAUCAAGUUUCUUAAAUUCACUAUAUAUUGCAACUGGUCCAAUUGUUAUGGAGAUGAUCGAUGCAGUCUUGAUUAAGAAAAUGUGCUUUUAAUUGCACAAAGAUAAGGUUCAUAGGCCUCGUUUAUGAUACUCAUGUUAAUGUAUGUGGAGGUUUAAUGACUGAAAAGUGCCUGCUAUUAAGAGCCUCUUUUCGUUUUGCAUUUCUUUUCAUGCUAUUGCAAUUGCAUGAAUACAUUCUUAUUUUUCAUUGUGUUGGAUUGAUUUAAAAGGGAGUUUGUGUGUUGUAGUUUUUUUUCUUUUUCUUUUUUUCCCUUCUGAAUUUCUUUGCUUUGAUGUUUUUAUUUUGUUAUGUUUGAGAUGAUGACUGUUGGCAUCAUUUACAGAUAAAGAGUCUUCUGGGGACCAAGGUGGAGUGGCUUUAUUAUAUCCUCCAAUCCUUCAACUCUGGGAAUUUGGUUCGCUAUGAAGAAUUGUGUCGCGUGCACAAUGCUGCACUGAGUGCUCAACCAGCCUUGGUUGAGAAUGAGAAGAAGCUCUUGGAAAAAAUUAAUAUUCUAUGCUUAAUGGAGAUUAUCUUCAGGUGUGUAUUGUUUUAGUGUACCCUAAGAGAUCAGGUCAAAGUUGUUGAUAAUUAUAUGUGGUUAAAAACUAAAGUACAAUAUGUUUCAAUGCAGCCGCCCUUCUGAUGAUCGAACUAUUCCUUUAAAAGUUAUUGCUGAGAGAACAAAAUUGUCAAUUGAGGAUGUUGAGUAUCUUCUCAUGAAGAGCCUGUCUGUAAGUUAAAAUAUUCAUAAUAUUGUUGUCAUCUUUAUUUUUACACGUAUUCAUUUUCCUUUAUCUUCAGUUUUUUUCAUGACACCUUAAUAGGGAAUGCAAACUAUAAGGGGACACAAUAAAUUUUGGAUAUUAGCCAAGGAAAAUACAAAUUAUCAUGAAUAGUGAACAUUUGUGGAAGUCCAAGUCUCAAUUUUUCAUAUGGACGAUGCAUCAUUGUAUACAUUUGAUUCGAAGCCUGCAUGUAGCAACUAGCUAUACUUCAGAGGGUUCAAAAUUCUAAAGAUAACUUGUAUAACCUUUUUGCGAAUAAUGACUGCAGGUUCGUCUGAUUGAGGGCAUAAUUGAUCAAGUUGAGGGAACAAUUCAUGUCUCUUGGGUGCAGCCAAGAGUUUUGGGGAUUCCACAGAUCAAAUCCUUGCGUGACCGGUUGGAUAAUUGGAUGGGCAAAGUACAUAACGCUUGGUUAUCAAUUGAGGCUGAAACACCUGAUCUUGUUGCAUCAUGAAUUUUUUUCUCCAGUUCCUUUCUGCCAUUGUAACAAUUUCGUUAUUUGAAAAGGGCAAGAAAAAGGGAAAGUGAAAUGAUGAGCAAUGAGGAUAGAGAUAAGCGUUAGUCAUUUGCGGGUAGAGCUAUCUUUGUAUGAUUCCUUUAGUAGGUAUUGCUUGAUCCUUAAAUCUUUGUUCUGAAAGGAGCGGCUCAUGUACUAAACUUUUCACUUUUUGGCAUUUGUUGGAUCUACAAUGGCACUGGAAUGCCUGAGGAUACGGUUAAAACCGCAAACAUCAUCCUUAUCUUUCAUUUUGUAUUGGGAUUAUUCAUUAGUUGGGAUUAUUCAUUAGAUACAAUCAGAUAUGAUCCACUUUUAUGUGGAUGAAAGUGCAUUUUCAUUUCAGAUUAGAUAUUUUUCUGCAUGAUCUAUAUAUUGUUUGGCUUCAGUGCGGUACUAGACGAGCUGCUGCUACUUAGUUAUUUAACUACAAAUAUGUUGAUUAGGUUUUACCAUUUACCUGUGAUGUGAAUGAAUCUUAUAGGAUGAUUGCCAAUCUUGAACAAUUAAACUAUUUGAUUGAUAUACCACCAGGUUGGGUUUUUAUACUAUAGGUAACGGUGUAUGAUUCCAUACUCGUAAAUGAGAAAACAUAAGCUGCAUAUUUCUUCAAAAUAAGCCCCAUCUUUAAUCUCAUAGUUUGCUAGUUUUACAUAAUUCUGAAUCACAUGGAACACUUAAUACCUCAGCAUUACAAAGCAGUAAUGAAUCAUGCAUAACAAAGAAUCAAGCCUAACAUGACCAAUAUCAUUGAAUUGAUAUUCUGGGAAAAUGAAAUACAUAGCUAGCACAAUGCUCCCGCAGCUUUCUUUACAUUUUAAGAAUACAAGCAAAUUCCAAAUGCACAGUCAUUCUUGCCGCACAAACGGCGUGGAACUAACAUCUGUGCUGUAAAAUGAGUCUUCUCCUCCAUAGUAGUUUUCAUCUUUCUCUUCUUCCCAUUUGAGAACCUCUCUUGUAUAUUUAAAUGCUUCAUCAACGGUCACCCGAUGGUCCCUUGCCCUAGCUUGUGACACAAAAAGUUUCCGUCCUGUAAGGGAAGCAUAAAGAUCCUUGAACUUCAUCGCAACGUAAAAGUAAGCCUGUUGAGCCAGAGACUGGUGACUAUGGACUGGUCUCACUGAACUGAAAUCAAUGAACCAUUCACAAGUGCUUAAAGGCACCCAAUUCACUUUGUCCUCAAAGAGAUCAUACUUGUUUAGUAUCAACACAAACGGCGCAUCCUUAAAGCAAGGGUGCCUUAUCAUUGUUUCAAAUAACUCCUUGGUCUGCAUCAUCUUAUUUUGAAAUAGCGGUCCACUGCCACUGCUCUCUGGUGCUACCGACAUCAGAUCAUAAUCACUGAGGGCCGCGCAGAAGACUACAACUCGUACAUCUUCAAACAUUUCCACCCACUUGCAUCCUUCAUUAAUCCCCUUUGCAUUUACCCUUAUGAGUUGAUACCUAUAAAAGCAAAAAGGCUAAAUUAGCUUUACUGAUUCAAGAUCAAAUCUCAUAGUCAUAUGCCUUGGGGUUGAAGUACGUAAGAGCGGAUACUGCGGAUACUGGGGAAUAAAAAAAGGACGGGAAUUGAAUGCAUUUUCUUUAAUGAUUUUUCAUAUGAACAAUACGAUAAAGAAAUUAUUGCAAACAUUGGUGCAGUAACUCUAUGUGAUGCAAUUGCUUGCAUCUAUGGAACAUUAUUGAGGAAAUCUUUCAUAAGGCAACAACAGAAUGUCAGGAAAGAAUUACUUGGUUAAUGGCUGUGAGGGAGCUUCCAAAUUGUCUGUGUAGGUUUCAGAAAUUGGACUACGAUCAUCGAGCAAAAACUCUAUGAAAGCCAAGCCAUUCCCUUGGGUGACCCCUUCAGCAUAAAGAAUGUCACGAUCAGUAGGUUCAUAUUCGUUGCUCGACACCUCUACAGCCUGAAGGAAACAAAAGCAUAUCACGUGUUACGGAUGGAAAAAAUCAAUAGAAUCAACGCAAGACUCAAGUAUGCAAUCAAGAUCUCACAAAUUAAGGCAGCAAUAUAAAAUAAUAUCAGUUAACUAUUCUAUAAAUAUUCUAGUCUUAUUUAUGUCUUUUAGUCAAGUCCUAUAACAAAGGGAUUAGAAUCCUUAUCAUGUACUACCUAAAUUAGUCAGCCUAACCUUGUUAUUUAAACAACAAAUGGAAUGAAAGAGCAAGCAGAAAACAAUUCAACUUUGAGAUAGGCAAAUAUCUCUCUUUAAGCUCCAAGAUUGGUAGCCCUUUUUGGAGAGCUCCACCCUUUCUUUCACAAUUCUCUCACCAUUGGUUCUCAUGGAAGACCCUAGCCAAAUCGUCCCGUGACUAGAUCCCUAUCUAAGGCUUGCAACACAAGAUGUUGCUGUAAUUUGAGUUCAUUUAUUUCUUGCCUUUUUUUUUUUUUGGGGGGGGGGAAUCUUCUUCAAGAUGAAUAACUUGACAUAUCAACAGCCAUCUAAAUUUUGGCAAUGAUUAGGCCAACAUCAAACAUAAAAAUAAGUUGACAUACCCUGCUUAAGAAGUACUCCGCAACAUCAGGAAGAAAGUGAAGCUCAUCUUUUCUUCUAUAAGUGUGCUGUAUAGCUGGAUCUUUCCACAACUCCUCAACUAAUGGUGCAUACUCACGCGUUGCUGCAGGGAAAAAUGCAUCCAAAUCACCAGUGGCUAUAAUAUCCAGAAGCCAGUCAGCAAAAUGCUUUAGCCUUGGGUUGAUAGAAUAGACACACUGGUUAGUUUCACCAGACUCGACCUCCCCACCUAACACAAGAUUCAAAUAUUGAUUACAUGUUGAAAGAGUUGCAAUGAUGCUAAUUAGUUUUUAGGCCAGCUUGGAGAGACAUUAGAAGCACCAUCAUGUAUAAAGCUUCUAUAAACAAGCAAUGAAACACAUCUAAGAAACAAGUCCAUGUUCUACUUUAAAAGCUCAAAACUAGUUCAAAAGCAGACAAGAUUUUGGUGUUGGCAAACAUUACCAGCAUCAAAGUUCUGAUCAUUGGCAGCUAGUUCUGGCAUUCCAGACAUUGCUUCCUCCUCAAACCGCUCCCGCCCAUCUAAUAAUAUACUAAGAUACCUGUACAUGUUACUCUGGAUCAUCAACUUCAGAUCCUGCAGUUCUUCUGCAGAAAACCCAUUUCCAUACAAAAACUUUGCCUGUUCAAUAAUGCAUAGUGAACAUUAGAUAAAAUGGCAUCAACAACAUUUUUAGACUGUAAAAACCUAGCUGUUUGUGCUGAAUUGGGUAGAUAACAUAGCUCUAGAUGAUCCUAGCAACUGAAUUUAUCAUUAAGCACAAUGGGAAAUUAGCCACAUCUUAAUCAUGUAUACACCAUAUACCAAUUGUUUCUAAACCAAGAAAGCAUAAAGAAAAGCAGAAUUCAGAUAAGUUGACUAAUAUGAUCCCCACUACACAGUCAGCCAAUGCCAUUGAAAGCAUUGUAGAGGUUAAACUAUAUGCCAAUCCACGAUUUAAAUUUUCCUAAUCAUCUUAAUUAUUCCUCAUCUACUAAUAGAUUGGAAUGACAGACAUUCUUCAUGCUCAAGCAAGAUAAUCUAGCUAACUUCCUUGUAGGUGUAAAUUUCUGAAGUGGCUUUACUUUCAUUUCCAAUACCACUUAAAGCAAUUGGCAUAGCAACACAAAGCAUAAUUGUUAAAAGAAAAUAGUACAUUAGCAACAAGAAAAUUCCAAACCUGCUUGAAGAUGGUGCUUGUUCCAGAGCCUUGAAGCCCAAGUAAAAGAAGCUUCUGGGUUCGUUUUUGCUCUAGGUAAUUUGGAACAGUACUAUAAUUGCUGGCCUCCUCCCUCACUCCUUGAGGUUGACCAUGGGGCACAGGCAAAGAAAACAAGGUACAGACAAAACGAGUUGUUGCCUGUCUCAUAAAAACCAAAACCCACAUCACAUUACAUAUAAUAUCCAUGAUACAAUUCAGGCUAUUAGAAGUUCAUGUACCUUCUCCCAGAUGUUUCCUCUAAUGUUAUUUUGACCUUCUUCCUCAUAACGACCAUCAUCAUAGACCCAAAAAUGAGUGUCACGUGGACACUGCACAUUUGCCAACUGAACACAACAAAAGGAUACAUCAAUUAUUAUUUAUUUGUUUAUUUAUUUCAGCCCGAAUGGAAGGAUACAUCAUGAUUAGUUAUACAAUAUGAAAACAUGCAUUCGAUAAAUAGUUUAUUCCCAUUCACAUUCUUAUCAAAUGCUGAGGUUAAACAUAUAUUAGGAUGUCUAAAAGAAAGGCAUAAUGCAGAAAACUAAGGUGUUAAAAGAGUUUUGUAAAAGGAAUCUGUUUCUUCUAACUGGUUAUGAUAUAAAGUAUAAAAGGAGGAGACAACAUAGCACCACAAGAACAUGAGAUUAAGAGUCCUAAAUGUAUGGAAUCAAGCAGAAAAGAAAAACAAUGAUCAAGAGCAACAAAUAAUAGAUCCCAUAUUAACUUUUAUUGUUGUUACCUUUAGCACCCUCAAUUCAAGUUUUGUAAUCUCCCUUCCAUUCAUAUAGACUUCAGUAUGGCCAUUGCUUGCAUCAUGAUUAAGCUUGCCAGUGAAAUUUAGGUUUGAACUAAUGAUGCGAUCAGGUUUUUCUCCUUCCUGCCAAUUCAAUAAGAAAAGAUAGUCGAAUCAAGUCCUCAUAUUCUAGAUGUUCCUCUGCUUGCUUCUUCAAAUAGAAAAGCCAAGUGAAACAUAAAAUAGCAUAUCAUAUUAACUUACCUUUCCCCAUAGACCAGAUUCCUUGUCAUACCAAUAUCUUCCAGGCUUCAACUUCCUAGGAGGUAAAGGGCAUCCGAGUAAUUCAGCCAUCUCUUCAGGCUUCAGUGGAUAUCCAUUCACAAUUAGCUGCUCCGGCCGGAGCUGAUUAGCAGAACAUUCUUUCUCUGCUUUCAUAAUCUGCUUUACCUCCAAUGGACUGAGUAGUCGAGACAAGAGCCUAGAAUGUUUACCUAAUCGUAAGCGCUUUGAUUCAUCAAUUGGCUGGCGAAUGCAUGUCACACAUUUUCGUCCUUCAGGCAUCGACCCCAUUGCCCUAAGCACACAAUUGCUGCAAUACUUAGCGUCACAAACCAGGCAAGAUUCCUUUGUUUCCCACUUUCUCUUACCGCAUCGAUAACAAACCCUUCUCUUCUUCUUCUUUUCUGUUGAAACCCCAACAUAUUCAGGAAAGACUCUCUUUACCAUAUCCAUAUCUUUCCUAUCCGACUUUUCAACAGUAUUGAAUGUAACAACUGGAACUCUCUUUCCUUCAUUAACAACUUGUUUAGGAGGAUUACUAGGAGGGUUGCCAACUGAGCCAGGUGAUGCUGAAGGAGAAACCGAAGAAAAAUCAGGAUUUUGCAGCACAGACACUAGGGACUCAGAACUUGCUGAAACCCUUGGACUCUGAGUACGUGGACUUGUGACACUGGCAAUAUGAGACACUGGCAAGGGGAUUGGCUCAAUCACCAGGGUCGCAGUAUUAGCAACUGAUCUUUGGGACUCUGACAGAGCUUCUGCAGUAGGGAUGGCAUGUGAAUUUACAUCCAGAGGCUCAACUCUAGGUACUUCAUAAGCAACUGGAGGACCUUUAUAUUCUAUUGCUAUGGAGUAAUCAAGCUCUAAUGAAUCUUCAGGGAGCGAGGCACCGGGUGGAAGCAUCUUCCCGACCAACUUUUUCCAACUCUCACCCUCCUUUUGCUCCAUUUAUUUGAAUACAAUACCGAAGUGCUAUAUGCUGGGAUAGAGCUUCAAGUUCAAAUUACAACUCCUCAAGUAUCACACAUAGUUAUCAAACUAUGCUCUAUAACAUCCAGAGACGUGCAUGAAUAAGCUCGAAUUACCUGGAAAGCAAUUGUCAGAACAGUGAGAUUUUCCGGGUCCUUUAUAAUGCAUGCUUGACAAUGAAACCAGAAAUAGUUACCAAGCAGCCAGACUUCAACAUAAAAUUGCCAUCCUAAGAAAACCUUCCAGUUUCAAAGGAUAUAUUGGAAAAGAUCAACCAUUUGACCCUAAUUAAAUGAAAUAAAAGCAAAUUCAAAUGUUCAAAAACCAAGCAUGGGAUUCAGGCAUAAUUUGAACAACAAAGUAGGCCCACACGCAUAUAGCUUAAACACCUACUCUUUUGGAAUGAAGUAACUGAAAUAAUCGGCAGUCAGCCAACAGAAAAAAUAAAGGAAAAAUCAAUUUUGUUAAGUCUACCCAAGAGAAGACUUUUACCUAUAAAUAAUAUCCUAAACCCAUAGAAGAUUGUUAAAAUUGAUAGUCAAAUGGUAAUGUAGGCUCAUGUAGAAAUUUUCAACUUUAAGAAAAAUACGAUUGAAUUCAUUUAUAGUCAAACAAUAGACAUUUCAAGCUUCAUUCAAGCUUUGAGGCUAAACAUGACUUUCCAACUAAAAAGAACAAAAUUGAAUCAGUCUACAAUGGAAAACAUUGGGAUCACAUUUUACCUACUGAAACUUCAAGAAACAUAAAAAAAAAAGGCAGUCAUACCCAUCCACACAUAGAAAAUCUUAGGGUCAAUCAAACAAAUACUAUAUACAAAACCCAAAAAAGAAAAAAAAAACCAAGAAGAUACCUGAAAGAAAAGGAAGAAAAUGAAAGUGAACCUCAGAGAGGAAAAAGAAAAGGUAGAGAAGGUCUUUGCUUUCUGCGCUUCUUCGAAUUGUUUCUUUUCUGUGCUUUGAAGAAAUCCAAGAAAAGAAAACGAAAUCCCAGACUCUGAGAGAUGGGAAAAAUAAAAAAUAAAAUCUUCAAAAAGCCUCUCUGCAAAACCAAAAAAGAGAGCCUGCACUACAACACAUCAGUCCAUUUUUUUUGUAGAGAAUGAUGAAAAUGGUGAACACUACAGACAAAGAAGAGAGAGAAAUGUGGGCCCCCAAGUUUCUUAUUUUCUUUUUUCUUUUUUGGUUUAAGAACUUCAUGAACAACAGUAGCAGCAGCAGUUGCAGGAUUGUCUGAAGGAGUGGUUUUCACUUUUUUAAUGUUUGUUGUAGUUGAGUUGAGGACUGGGUGGGGGGAUGAGCUGCCCCGAGGCCCGAGCUCUACUGAGUGUGGCCUCGUGCGUGGGUACUGUUGGCGCCUAUGGUGGUGAUGAUGUGGAACCGUACGACCAAGAUAUUUGUGUUGGAUCACGCGCCUUCUAAGGAGUGUGAUAGAUUCUCUCUUCUAUGUCUGUUUGUUUGCCUUCCUUGUUGUGGGCGUGAAAAACGCGGAGCAGGCAUCACCAGAGGCCUGAUCAUAGUACUAUGGGCCACGGCUCAUUCCCACCAGGCCAUCAUCUAUCAUAAUUUUAUAUUGGUUAAUAUAAGUUGUUAGUCCCUAUACUUUUGACGAAAUUUGAAAUUUAUCUUUAUAUUUAAAAAGUUAGAAAUUAAGUCCUUUAAUUUUUUAAUCUAAAAAUAUCAUUCCAAUCAUUAAAAUUGUAAGUAUUUUAUAUUAAAAUUUUAUUAAUUUGGCAUGCUGAUUAAACUACCCUCAUAUGAUGUAGCAUAUAUUUGACAAAAAAUAAGCAGAAAUAUUUUUUUUUAAAUUGAAAAAAUUAAAGGGAUUGAAUCUUUAUCUCUUAAAGUAUAGGGAUUAAUAGCAGAUUUUAACCUUUUAUGGUAUAUCAUAAAUUAAUGAAAUUAUUAUAAGAGAAAAAGGUGAUGAACCCUCUUUUCCCCGAAUAUUCAAUUCCCUUUUCCAGAAAUUAACGAACAAUAGAAAAAAAAUUGAAUGUUGAGAUGAGUCGAAAAUAGGGAGAUGAGAGGAGAGAAUAGCAAUUAAUGUCAAAUGGGGACCAUGGGAUGAAGGUCCCAGUCAAUAAACCAAGGUUUUUAUUAUGGUUGGUAUACCUCAGCUGCAACUAUAAUGGAUUUAGUCUUUGGGAGUUGGGACCUUAUAUAUUCACAUUCUUAAUUAAACAAUAUAUUAUAAAUUUACAUUUGAUUAUAUCUAAAUUAAUUCAUAACAUGGAUUCAAAUAAUCCUCUAAUUAUAUUUUAUCUCUCCUUCAAAUCACUCCAAAAUAGAUUAUAAAGUUAUAGAUUGCCAUUAGAAAUUAAUUACCUUUUUGAAAAUUAAAAACUAUUUUUAUAUUUUAAAAUAUUAAUUAAUUGUUGACGUGGCAAUCCACAUGGAUGUCACAUCAGCAAAGUUAACCAAUGUUAACUUUUUCGGGCAAUUUACCAAUAAAGGCCCAUUUUUUGUAAAAAAUUACCGAAAUGGGCCCUCUAUUUCAUUAUUUAUCGGAAUAGACCAUUUUCCGCGAAAUCGCGUCCACGUCAGCGCGAUGUUAGGGUACGCGUCAGGAAAUCACGUUUACGUGGACGCGAUUUUCUCUCGCGCGUGAACAGUACCCAACGGUCAAAAAUUUGACUGUUGUCCCCCCCAACGGUAAAAAAAAACUAUAAAUACCCCUACCCCUUUUUAUUUUUUCACAAACAAAUCCUCUCUCAUAUUUCCUCUCAAUUCCUCUCAAUUUCUUUCCAAAAUUAUCUCAAUUUCCUUCCAAAAUUCUCUUAAUUUCCUUCCAAAAUUCUCUCAAAUCCAUAUUUGAUUUCAAUUUCCUCUCAAUUUUCUUUUUUAAAAUAAUUUUAAAUUUUUUUAUAUUUUUAUAAAUCGUAAAAAUUUGUCCGAUUUCAUCAAUGGCCGCAUCAUUGACUCGUCUUGAUAAGCAUCACAUAUCGGUGGAACAAAUGAAAAUGGUAAAUGUUAAAUUUAAUUUUUAAAUAUUAUUUAAGAAUUUUUUAUUUAUGCAUUUUUAGAUAAUUAUUAAUUUGUUAUUUGUUAUAAAAAGUGGUAGAUCGGGUAUUAGAAUGCAAUAUCCGGAAUAUGCAUGCUCCUCCAUCACCGUUGGUAGAGAACUACCUGCGGGAAGCGGGUUUCUGGCACGUGACGACGGUAGGCCGAGGAUGCAAGUUGUAUUCGAAACUGAUCAGUGCGUUCAUCGAGAGGUGGAGACCCGAGACGCACACAUUCCAUCUUCCAUGUGGAGAGUGCACUAUCACUCUAAAAGAUGUCCAUCUGCAAUUGGGAUUGCCCGUGGACGGGCACCCAGUCACCGGGUCUGCCCAAUUUAGCAAUUGGGAGGCGGUGUGCUAUGAGCUUUUGGGUGCAAUUCCGGAUAAAAUGGAGGGAGGUAAGGUCGAGAUGGGCUGGUUACGUGACACAUUUCCUGAUCCGAAUGAAGAUUCAACCGAAAUUGAAAGAAUCCGAUAUACUCGGGCAUACAUUCUUCAAAUAAUUAGAGGUUAUCUGAUGUCUGACACGUCACGGAGCUGCGUACAUCUAAGAUGGCUACUGAAACUCGUUGAUUUUAGAGCAGCCGAUGAAUUAAGUUGGGGGUCUGUCGUCUUGGCUACAUUAUAUCGGGAGCUGUACGGGGCGACGCGACCGAGGAGAGCCAAAAUCGGAGGUUGCCUGUCACUACUGCAGUCAUGGGCACGGUUUCGCUUUCCAUUUCUACGUCCUCGGCUGAACCACCCAUAUACAUUCCCACUCAUAACGAGUUAAUUUUAUAUUACAUUUUACAAUUAUUAUGUAGAUUUUUAAAAAUAAAAGUAAGCUAAAAAUUUAUGUAAUUAGGUGGAACCAUCCGACAAGUUAUGCUCGAUUACCGUCCACUCUUGAAGAUAUACGACUUCUAUUGGACCAAUGGCCGGAAGCAGAAGUAAGUAUUAUUGCAAAUAGAUAUUUCCAUACAUUCGCUAGUCGAUUGGUAUUUAGUAUUUAAUAUUAUUAUGUAUAUAACUAAUAUUUCUAUCAUGUUCAUAUAGUUUGAAUGGACACCAUACGAGGAUCCGGCAAUUCAGGCAGUAAUUCUGGAAAAGUUCUUACAAAAUCCAAACGCCUGGCACGUGAAAGUCGUGUUGAUCAACUACACAACCGUGAAGCCGCACCAGUCAGACAGAGUGCUAUGACAGUUCGGGUGUAGACAACCGAUUCCCAUGGAUCCUAAGGAGUUUGACGAGCAACACAAAAUCGACCUUCGGUAAUUGAAUAUGGAUUGGCCGAGAUACUGGUCUGGGUACAUAGAUAUGUGGGGAGAUCGGCAUGAAUAUAUACCUACUCGGGAAGCGAUCAUCGUUCCGGAGUUAGCGUGCGUUCCAGAAUACAUGCCAUGGUUUAGGAUCCAUGGCAAGCCGUAUUUACUGACACCAGAGCGGAGGCAGUGGCAAAUACGUGUCGAAAGGGAAAGGCGCGGGCCUCUAAAUCGAGGAUGACAAGAUGACGAAGGCAGCCCUCACGAGGCCCAGAUGUUCACCUGGCGCAUCAUCAGCGGCCAUGCAAUCACCAGGCCCAACGAGAGCACCGAGUUAGUCACUCGACGCAGCAAAUCAACCGAUGAUACCUACGCAACCGCCUUUUCAAAUGAUUCCAGGUGCGUUUCCUAACCCUUAUAUGUACCAUUACCCUUAUAUGUAUCCUUUUUCGAGUCUUAUGGCAGGUUGGAGCCAAAUGCUCGUUUCAGCUCUAUUUUUUGUUAUGCCGAGUGGAUCACCGAUACAUAAGCCAGCGGCACACGAGGGAUCGCAAGGGGGCCGUCGGGGAGCUCUCCUUUUUACCAAUCCCCACCAACGUAUAAGUUUCAAACACCAUCGCCGUUCCUGAUGCAAACACCUCCACAUACACUAUUCUUUAAGGUGGAUCAUCGUCCCAAGUCCGACAACCAGAUGCCGAACCGGAAGAACCAGAAGCCCCACCGGAGGAAUAAUAACCGCCGUCGGAAGCUAGAGAAAGGAGGAAUCCAGCUCGUAACCGUCGACGGCCGCCAUGUGGCACUGAAUCCCCCGGGCAUAGACAUUGAUUGUCGUAUUUAAAUUUAUUUGUACAAAUAUUUUGAAUAUUUUGAUAUUAUUUUUAUGUAAAAAAAUAGAAAUUUUUUGAGUUAUUUUGAUAUUAUUUGAUGUAAUAAAGUAGAAGUUUAUUCCUAACCCUAACCCUAACCAAACUUUAUUAAAAACACUAACCCUAACCAAACUCAAUUAAAAACCCUACCCUAACCUAACUUAAUUAAAAACCCUAACCCUAACCUAAUUUAAUUAAAAACCCUAACCCUAACCAAACUUAAUUAAAAACCCUAACCCUAACCCUAACCAAACUCAAUUAAAAACCCUAACCCUAACCAAACUUAAUUAAAAACCCUAACCUAACUCAAUUAAAAAUCCUAACCCUAACCAAACUUAAUUAAAAACCCUAACCCUAACCUAACUCAAUUAAAAACCCUAACCCUAACCAAACUCAAUUAAAAACCCUAACCUUAGCCUAAUUUAAUUAAAAACCCUAACCCUAACCUAACUUAAUUAAAAACCCUAACCCUAACUCAAUUGAUAAUUUCACUAACCAUUAAUAAUUUUAUAUGAUUUCAUAAUUUCACUAACCAUUAAUAAUUUUAUAUAAUUUCAUAAUUUCACUAACCAUUAAUAAUUUUAUAUAAUUUGAGUCUGCACAACUUCGUUUGACUGGCUGUUUCUCGGAUAUCCAUAUUGUUACGUAUUCUAGUCGAACAAGGUCGACCCUUUGGUUUACAAAGUAAAUUUCUAUCCGAUAAUAGCUUAAAAGGAGCAAGAGAUACGGGCAGCCACUUACGUUCAUCUGGGACCGGUGGGAAAACGUGUCUCUAGACGUUGUGCAUGUUUUCUAAUUUGUACACUUUGUCCACAUAACUCAUCGGAUCCAGAAGGAGUUUCUAACAAGCUGCAAUAACAUGAGCGCAUGGAUAUCGAAGUGCAUCAAACUUCCCACAGUCUCAAGUCCUAUUCCGCAAGUGUACACGAUAUUGCCCGCCAACAACACCUUGGUGCGGUCUGUCAAACUCUAUCACGCGAAACCAUAAAUUGUCUCGAUCGUGACACACUGUGUGCAUAAUGUUUGCCAUCGCCUUAGCCUUGUUUAUUUUUUGAACUACAUUACUGCACCAUACAUGGCCUCCCUGCAUCUGGCCUGCAUAACCUGCUGCUCGCUUUGGAAAUAGCGCCGCCAAACGAAAAUAUGUUUCCCGCAGAACGGAUGUUAUCGGUAAAUGGCGCGUUCCUUUAAGAACAGAAUUUAUGCAUUCAGCCAAGUUCGACGUCAUAUGGCCAUAUCGUAGGCCGCCGUCGUAUGAUUGUGACCACUGUUUGAAACGUAUGUUACAAAGGUAGUCCGCCCCUUCUGCGUUAAUUGAACGUAAAAUUGCCAACAUCUCGUGAAAACGAUCUUUAUUUAUUUCAUACCCUGCCAAUAUAAGAUCAUAGCGAAUGAUUUAUACCACUUCUACCAAUAAAACUAAUUCAAAUUGACAAACGAAAUAACACAGAUAUAGACUAAAUACCCAUGUUGGUCACUUGUCGUCAUUCGCUCUUAGAUAGAUAUUACCUGUAGUAGUUCGAAGCAACGUGUCUUAGGCAAUAUCUAUGGUGUGUGCGCUGCCAUAAGCUUCCCUCUCGAUCAAAUGCAGCUAGAAUACCGGCGCCCCGAUCUGAAAUAACACAGAUAUCAGGUUGGGGGUAGACAUGCCUCCUUAACCUAGAGAGAAAGAAACCCAAAUUAUCAGACGACUCCCCCGGUGUUAUUGCAAAUGCAAUUGGAAAAAUUCUCCCACCGCCAUCCUGUGCUACUGCAAGCAAUAGCCGAUGAGUAUACCUACCGAACAUGAAGGUACCGUCAAUUUGUACCAACGGCUUGCAGUAUGGAAAUACAUCUCGGCAUUGCUUAAAGGUCCAAAACAGGCGUUUGAACACUUGGCAUCUACGUAGCAAUCGGCUGUUGUAGUACGCAUGUUCCGUUUCAAGGUCUGUGAUGGCACCUGAGACGUAUCUCUCUAGCACCUGACACCACUGCCAUAUUUCAUUAUAUGAGGCGUCCCACCCACUAUGCAUCUUCUCCAACGCCUUUUGCUUAACUAUCAUAGCCUUACGGUAAGAGGGCGUGUACCCCAUUUGGCUAUAGAUAUUGGCAAUUAACACCGGCACUGAAGUCCUAGGAUCUGCUUUUAUUGUGGGCAGUAUCAAGCUAGCUAACAUAGCUGAAUCCUUUUUGGGAUGAUCUUCUGAAACACCUAUAAAGGGAGUACAUUAAAUAAUAUAACAUUGCAUAAUAAAAGUAUUAUUCAGAUACCAUCAAUACUAUACCUGCAGCACAUGUAUGUGGACCUUUGUACUUUUUUAUCUCCCACAACCCUGUCCUUUUCCUUAACGAGACGUAGAUUUUCCAUGAACAUGUGUCGUCUUGCACCGCACACUUUACCUCAAACUUAUUAGAUUUUGAUUUAACGACGUGGUAGUUAACGCCAUUUUUGAUGCUAUGUUGUUUCAAAGCACCAAUAAAACUAUCCUUGUUGGUAAACUGAUUACCAACUUUAAGUUCACCGAAAUCUACCCCCGAACUUGUACGACCACGAGACCGGUGUGGUAGAUUUAGAAACUCUAAUGCAUCAUCUACAGAUAGAUCGACAUUCUGCUUGUGGGCUGGAGGUGAGUAUGCUCUGAAUCAUGAAUUUUCUUCCUCAUCUGAACUCCUUUCAGCAUCUUCAGCUUCUGUUGGAAUAGGCUCCGGUUCAGAAAAUAAGCCAACUUCUGCAUCAUCCGGCCUGGGCUCUCGAGGUGGAUCCACAUCGGAGUCUUCUUCUAACCCACAAUCAUCUGCAGCGUACGAGGUCCCCUCACCGGUUGACGUCGUAGGGAGUAUGUCAUCCCUUCUUCUGGGCAUUUCAUAACGUCCCCAAUUGGAUGUAGAUUGCCACCCACUAGAACUUGAUGCCGUUCCCCAGUACGUAUUUCUAGCAUCAAACGUCGAGCCACCAACGUACAUGUUUCAUCCACCGAUAGAGUGUCUCGUAAAGGAUGUGCAUUCGACACCGCUACCAAACAUGAGCUGUUCUGAAUUUUGUAACCCGCUAACCGAGUGUCGGCCAUGGGUCGUGUAUACAUCUCAAACAUCGGUCGCAAGUACAUCAGUUGGUGAUGUAAAUUGCACAUAUAACUCAAUAUAAGGUGCUCCACUAGCAAGAUGAGUCCGCACCAUUGCCUCCAAGCUACGAGCACCUUUUAUGUCGAACGAGUCAUAUGUCACCGGAUCAACAGAAGAACAAAAUCGAUACGUCAUGGACAGAACUUUCAUUGGCGUCGUUCCAAAAAUUUUACGCUUAAUUCUUUUACGAAGUUCUGUCAAAUCUAUAUUCUGGUUAAAAACCAGUCGCACCGUAUUCUCCGACAAAAAAAUAACACCAUUCUCGGUGUGGCAAACCUCACCAUCGUAAUAAAUAACAGCACCAAUACGUUCACUCAUAUUUGAAACUCUAACUUUCUUAUCCUCUCUAAAUUGUUUCUGCUAUGACUUAUGCAUUCUGAGAACAUUAUAUGCCUAAUUUAUAGCCUCAGCCCAAACAUUCUACUGUAGCAAAAGCGCGCCCACGAGGCCGGGAUUUCACAAAUUCUUCUCAAAUAGCAUCCUGCUAGAAGUGAUUUUAUACUAUUUGGUCAGAAAAGUCAAAAAAAAUUAUUUCUUACAUGACCUACUGUAGCAAAAGCGCGUCCACGAGGCCGCAAUUUCACAAAUUCUUCUCAAAUAGCAUCCUGCUAAAAGGGAUUUUAUACUAUUUGCUCAGAAAAGUAAAAAAAAUUAUUUCUUACAUGACCUACUGUAGCAAAAGCGCGCCCACGAGGCCGCAAUUUCACAAAUUCUUCUCAAAUAGCAAUCCUGCUAAAAGCGAUUUUAUACUAUUUGUUCAGAAACAUCAACCCAAAAUUAUUUCUUCCAGGACCUAAAAACCCUAAAAAGCCUAAACCCUAAACCCUAAAAGCCAAAAAAACUUAACGUGGGAAAAACGGAAAAAUCGCGUCCACGUCAGCGCGAUGUCGAGGUACGCGUCAGGAAAUCGCGUCCACGUAAGCAUCUCGCGCUUACGUGGAUGCGAUUUCCGAAUGCGUACCCUGACAUUGCGGUGACGUGGACACGAUUUCAUGGAAAAUGGUCCAUUCUGGUAAAUAAUUAUAUAGAGGGCCCAUUUCGGUAAUUUUUUACAAAAAUGGGCUUUUAUUGGUAAAUUGCCCAACUUUUUCAUCUGUUUUUAGUGAUUUGACAAACGAUACAAACUGAAAGACUAAAAAAGAUAAUAAAAUAAAUAAAUAGAUGGCUAAAAUGAUACUUCUUGAAAAGUUAAAGGGCCAAUAAAAUCGUUAUGACUCACAUAUGAUUUAGUUAUAAUUAGACUUGAACUUAUGAUUUUAAAGUUUGGAGGGCUUCAAUCUUAUCUCGUUGACAUAAAUUUAUUUUCAAAAAAUUGUUAUCAAUUAUAAUUAUAAUUUGUUUUUAUUCUGUUUUUAGCUUUUUAUUUUUUAUGCAAAUACACAUUAAAUAUUUAAAUUUAAAUUAUAAUAUAAUAUUAAUUUUAAGAUGAAUUUUGUAAUGUUUUAAUCAAUUUAUUUUCCUUUCAAACCUUCUAACCAAUUAACUUUACCUAAGUAAUUUAAUCAACUUGGUUCAAGGUUAAUAUAUAAUUCAAUUGAAUUGAAUAUAAAUUUAAAAUAUUUAAUUUUAAUUGAAGCUAAUAUAAUUUUUUUUAUUAAAUAAAAUAGAUACAUUUAAUUUUAUGGGAUAAAAUAAGAUUUAGUUCUUGAAUUUGGUAAUUAUUUCCAAUUUGAUCUCUGAAUUUUUUUAUCCAUACAAGUCAUUGAACUUGAUAGUUUUUCUCAACUUAGUCCAUGAACUUGGAUUUUGUUAAGGUAUGAUGAUGUGGCACUCUGAAACUAUGUCACAUUAUCAUUUGAAUUUUAAAAAUAAAAUCUUAUGAUUUCUUUAUUUUUUGUAUUUUUUAGAGUUUAUUUAUAUAUUUUUAAUUUUCAAAUGAUGGUGAAAUACAAUUUUAAAAUGUCAUGUCAUCACUCUUGAACAUAAUUCAAGUUCAAUGAUCAAAUUGAGAAAAAUUGUCGAAUUCCAAUAUUAAUGUGGACAAAAAAAUUCAAGACCGACUAGGAAAUGUGAGAGAAACAAUUUUUUAUUUGAAUGGCAAGAGUACUUUUUCAUUGCUUUGCAUUACAAAUAAAUACAAGUGUGUAACUAGGUGUUUGAGAUAGAAUACAACAGUGGUUUGAAUCUUUCAAACUAUUCAAAAAAUAAACAAAUUCAAUCCUAACUGAUUUGAAUUAAAAACAAGAAAUAAGUCAUGUCAACUAGGUGAGGAAGUUGACGUGGAUUGAGUCAGUUGCUUAACACCCCCCGCAAACGGAUGGGGAAAAGCACCAGCAGUUUGUCUUUCAUCAACAAGAAGCGUGAUUUUGACAGUGGCUUAGUGAGAGCAUCAGCCAAUUGAUCCACAGUGGGUAUGUAGGAAACAACAAGAUGCUUCUGCCGAACCUGAUCUCGAACAAAGUGGAAAUCGAGCUCAAGAUGCUUUGAGCGAGAAUGAAAAAUUGGAUUUGCAGCCAAGUAUGUAGCAGCCAUGUUGUCACACCAUAUCCGAGGAGCAGACAGCAGAGGAUGCCGCAGCUCACGAAGUAGACAACAAAGCCAGUAUAACUCAGAGGCAGUUGUAGCAAGCGCUCGAUAUUCAGAUUCAGUGCUGGAACGAGCAACGGUCUUCUGUUUCUUUGAGCACCAAGAAACAAGAUUGGCACCUUGAUAAAUAACAUAAGCCGAGGUACUUUUUCGAUCAAGUUUGUCUCCACCCCAAUCGGCAUCAGAGUAGGCAGUUAAAGCAUUCGAAUUAGAUUGACAGAACACAAUGCCACGAUCAAGAGUUCCCCGUAAGUAGUGAAGAAUGCGCUUAACUGCUUGCCAAUGAUGAACAGAAGGCGAAUGCAUGUAUUGAGCCAUUUUAUUGACAGCCUGCGAGAUAUCUGGACUAGUGAGAGCCAAGUAUUGUAAAACACCAACAAUUUGUCGAACAGUGUCGGAUCCUCAAAUGUAGUAGAGGAAGCAGCCAAGUUAGCUUGUGGAGUCGACGGGGUUGCAACACUCGAAGCCUCAUGCAUAUUAGCACGAUGCAAAAUGUCCAAAAUAUACUUUGUUUGAGUGAGCUGCAAACCAUUUGAAUGCCAAGCAACCUCGAUACCGAGAAAAAAAUAUAUAGGUCCCAAAUCUUUUAGCGCAAUCAUCUGUCCAAGAAGAUUAGUGAACCGGUGUAGAAGAGAUGGGGAAGAACCAGUCAGUAUCAAAUCAUCAACAUAUACCAAACAGUAGGUUGUGUCACCACCGGCCGAAUAAAUAAACAGCGAACUAUCCGCCUUAGAGCUGUAAAAACCAAGCUUCUGAAGUGUACUAGCAAGACAAAAGUACCAAGCACGAGGCGCUUGUUUUAAACCAUAAAGGGACUUUUUGAGAGCACAGACAUGAGUCGGUUUUGUUGGAUCAAUAAAACCCUGAGGUUGCUCCAUAAAGACAGGCUCAUCAAGUGCACCAUGGAGAAAAGCAUUGGAGACAUCAAGUUGUCGAAUGGGCCAGGAAUUCGUCAUAGCAAUUGAAAAAACAAGACGAAUUGUAGCCGGUUUGAUAACUGGACUAAAAGUCUCAACAUAAUCAAUACUUAGGCGUUGAUGGAAUCCCUUGGCAACGAGGCGAGCCUGAUAGCGAUUGAUCGAGCCAUCAGCUUUAACUUUAAUCCGAUACACCCACUUACAACCGAUAAUAUUCGAAGCAAGAGAUCUCGGAACCAAAUCCCAAGUGUCAUGAGACAUAAGUGCUUCAAUCUCUUCUGACAUUGCCUUCCACCAAGCUUGGUGUUUAGCUGCCUCAGUAUAAGAUGUGGGUGUGGUUAAGAUGGUGGAAGAGGUAAUGUAGGCUCUCGAUUUGAGGCUGCCAGUUUUUGAGCAUGUAGUAUAUGGAUGAUUGGGUAUUAGUGGCGGUCUAAAGGUGAUGGGACGAGUCGGGGAAGGCCUAGAUUCGACCGAGGGAGAAACAGGAGUAGCCACAAUGAUCUGAUCAUUGGUUGGGGCAGUGAAGGCAAUACUGUAUCGGUUGAGCUUUGAGAAGAGGCUAGCGAAGAAGUAGAGGAUGACAUCGGUUGGACUAAUAGCAUAUGUGUGGGCUGUGGUGUAGUGUUGCCGAAAGAAAUAAUGGAGGCUGGUGGUGGUGGAGUGCCAAGUAUCGAGAGCAUGUAAUUGCUAUAUUUGAACAAAAAAACCUGUUCAUCAAAGAUAACAAGUUGUGAGUAAAAAAUUUUAUUGGUGGAUAACGAUAAACAUUUGUAACCUUUAUGACGAAUACUAUAACUUAGAAAGACACAUUUUGUAGAACGAGGCUCUAAUUUAUUCUUUGUAUACGAGCGAAGCCAAGGAUAGCAACAACAACCGAAAACACGAAAAAAAUUAUAUUCCGAGUUUCAUUGAAAAAUAACUUGAUAUGGGGAUUUAUGGUUGAGUUUUGGGGUUGGCAAACGAUUUAUGGUAUUGAUGGCAGCAGCAAAGGCAUGAUCUCAAUAUUUAGGUGGUACUUUGAAAUGAUGUAAGAGUGCUCGGCCAGUUUUAGUAAUAUGUCGGUGUUUUCUUUCAGCGCAGCCAUUUUGUUCAGGGGUGUGUGGGCAUGAACUACGCUAUAAGAUGGCAUUAGAAGCUAAGUAUUUUUCUAGAGCUUGAAAUUCCCCACCCCAGUCAGAUUGAAACUGUUUAAUCGGUUUGCCAAAAUAUUUUUCAACGAUAGCUCGGAAUUAAACAAAGCAAUUGAAUACAUCAAAUUUAGUUCGCAAAAAAUAAAUUCAUGAAUACUUGGUAUAGUGAUCAAAAAAGACAACAUAAUAUAAAUAUCCAUCAACAGAGGCAAUUGGAGAAGGUCCCUACAAAUCCGAACAUAUUAAUUCAAGAGGUUCUUUUGCUUCAAAAGUAGAAUCAGAAAAAAACAAUUUUCGAGACUUACUAACACAACAAGCCUCACAUAACGACAAGUCAUGCUUAGAGGAAGCAGACAAAUUAUUCAAAUUUAAGACUUUGCAAAUAGUUUUGGAACACGCAUGGCCUAAACGAGCAUGCCAUGUAGACAGGGAAACUGAGUGACAAACUGGAGAAACAGGAUCUGCGGCCAGCCGAUAUAGGCCAUCUCUAAUGACUCAUUGAUGAAGUACCUGCUUCGUCUUGAGAUCCUUAAUCACAAAAUGGUCAGAGAAAAAUUCCACAAAAACAUCAUUAGAUUUAGUAAACUGAGGAACAGAAAGCAAAUUGAGAUUAGCUUCUGGAACAUGAAGAAUAUUAUGAAGCGAAAAAGAAUGAGAACCAAUAGUAAUUGUAUUAGAACCAAGACGAGAAAUGGACAGAGAUUUACCAUUAGUGAGAGUGACUUCAUCAAUUCCGCUAUACUCAGAGUGGAGACCAAGGUUUUCCAGUUCAGAAGUUAAGUGAUGAGAGGCACCCGUAUCGACAACCUACUGCUUGUCGGAGUGAUGAGAUGAAGAGUUGUAAUUGGUAGUCGGCUUAGGUUGGGUAUCAUUGUAUUUCGGGCUUGGACAUUGUCUGGUAGUAUGGUCACGCCCUCGACAAUUAUAGCAGGUUGGUUCGGAAGGAUAGGAGCCACCACGACCCUUGGAGGAAGAGUAACCAGCUCGGCAGUUGCCACGACCCCUGCCACGGGAGUUGCCAUUAGAUUGUUGUCGACCGGCAUAGUGGGCAACAGCCGCUGGAUGAAAAGUCUUAGAGGUAGAUUGUAAUUGUGAUUCUUUAGACAAAAGUAAGCCGUAUAGAUCAUCAAAUUUCACAGACACUAAUCGUGCCUCGAUGUUGCGAGUGAAGGGCCAAUACUCAGGACCAAGUCCCCGUAAAAUGUGAUCAACAAGAUCAUCCUCAGAGAUCGGUUGAUUGAGAGCAAGAAGCUGAUCAUAUAUACGCUUUGCACGAUCCAUGUAUGUAACAAUCGAAUCAGUGCUACGAGUGAGAGAAUGCAAUGAAUUUUUGAAGGACCGGAUCUGAACACGGGACUCGGAGGCAUAGGUGGUUUGAAGCUUUGUCCACGCAUCAAUGGCAGUAGUUGAACCAACAACUUAAGACAGCACUGGUUCAGAGAGAGAGCCAAAGAUCCAGCUUAAUACAAGUUGAUCUUUAAUAUACCAGGCCUGGUACGCCGGAUUCGGUGCCCCGUUAACCUCUCUCGCCGGAGAGGCAGUUCCAUCAACAUGACAGUAUAGUUGAUUGCCAUGGAGGAUCGGGGUGAAUUGAGUUUUCUAGAGAAGAUAAUUUGAGGCGGUGAGUUUAAUGGUGAGUUGGUUGUGGAUGGAAGGGAAAGACAUAAGCGAGGACAUAACAGAGGAGAUAUCAGCAUCGGUGGUUCCCAUGGCAGAAGGAGAAGGAUCAGGAAAAAAAAGAAGAGAGAGAGGCGUUGAAUCCUAAAAGAUGGCUAAGCUGAUACCAUGUGAGAGAAGCAAUUUUUGAUUUGAAUGGCAAGAGUACUUUUUCAUUGCUUUGCAUUACAAAUAAAUACAAGUGUGUAACUAGGUGUUUGAGAUAGAAUACAACAAUGGUUUGAAUCUUUCAAACUAUUCAAAAAAUAAACAAAUCCAAUCCUAACUGAUUUGAAUUAAAAACAAGAAAUAAGCCAUGUCAGCUAGGUGAGGAAGUUGACGUGGAUUAAGUCAGUUGCUUAAUAGGAAAAGUUGUCAAAUUAAGAGUCUAAAUAUUGUUACAUCCCUUAAUUUUAUAUCACGUGAUUAAAAUGUUAUUAUUUUGUAAUUAAAAAUAGAGAAAUGAAUAAACUAAAUAGAGAAUGCAUAGAUAAACAAUAAUUUUAAUAAUAAAGAUAUAAAUUGUAGUUUUAUUUAGAAUUUGCUUAACAAAUAGAUUUGGGUUUAAUUUUUUUUCAAAUAUGAGGAAAGUAUUUAGCAUUUGUGAAAUCAUAGAUAAAUGUAUUUUACACUAAACUCGAGAAAAAUAAAUUCUUUUCAAUAAUCACAUUAAAUCUGAUUAAACUCAAAAUCAAAUUAAUUAGAUUUCCUAAAAAUGAAGGAAGAUCUCCCAAUACUACUUUUGACAAGAUUUGGUCUUUUACGUUUCCUUUUUUUUUUUUUCCCCUUUCGUCUAAAGUAACAGUGAAAGCACCAAACCAUUUUGUUUAAAGCUUAACACCUUUACCUAAACUAGUCCUUCUUCAACCAUUGAGUCGAAGGUUUGAGUUGAGAAUUCUAUCAUCUUUUUUCUUUUUGAAUAUAAGAUUUGUAUCAUUUUAAAAUGAAUGUAGUUACGAAAUUUUGUUUCACAAUAAGUUUAGCUUAAAAUCAUAGUGAUUUUAAUAUACGGUGUUUUUGUGAAGCCUAAAAUGGUGGUCGAUCAAUUCUAUACGCUUAAAUUAUAUAUUCAACAAUACUUAAUUAAGAGAUCUUCUUGCUUUCUUUCUGCGAUCUUCUUAGAAACAGUAGCCUAUAAUAUGUUGUAUCUAUGGUUACUUUUCAGAAUAUUACAUAUUGGGUUUUAUUAUUAAUUAUCUUAAUGAGUAUUUAUAUAUAUGCUUUCUUUUUAACAUUAUUCUUAUUAUAAAUUCUCAUCAUAUUUGUUCUUUUUUAUACAAUAUCUAGAUUUACUCAUAGUCCCUCCCCAACUCUUAAGGAGGAUAAUACACUUUAGCGCACUCAAACUCACGUUUUUAUUUGUUCUUUUUUAUACAAUAUCUAAAAUUAUUCAUAGUCCCUUCCCAACUCUUAAAUAGGAAGAUAAUACACUUCAGCGCACUCAAACUCACGUCCUCCUGUACUUAUAACAAUGUCGAUAUCAAUUGAGCUAACACUCAAUCCAUGUAUAUUUUUUUUAUUGUUACAAAUUUUGAGAAGAGGAUAAGUUGUCAAAGUUUGAAUAUUUGCUAUUGAUACUAAUGAACAACCUUAUCACUCCAAGUGUGACUUUGUUGAUGAAUAUAAAUUUUUAGUGCCUAGUUUCAAAAACGAUAUAAAUAUAUAUAUGCAAAAAUAUAUGUGCAUCAUACUUUAUUAUAAAAUUAGAAGCCCUGAGUCCCAAUAUAUUUUACAAAUAUAUGGGCUUGGGUUGGAUUCCUAGAACCUCCUAGGAUUUGUCAAGUUCAUCUGCCCUCAUGUAAAAUGGGCAUAAAAUCCUGGCCUUAGUAUGUAUGGGCUUCAACACUAAAAUCCAAUUAUCUCCCAGGCUUUGGGGCGUUGAUGAUAUUUUUCAUAAGGCUUAAGUGAGAUGGAUGUAUAUAUGCAGGGGUCAUGUAGGACUUGUGGUUGUGGCUGCUGCUCUUGGUUUACUUGGCCCCUGGUGCUGAGAUGGCAAACUAUGAUAGGCCCUGUAAACUCGAAGAAGGGAUCUAAUGAAGCCAAGCUCUCUCUAAACAUUAUCCUAUCCAGAAUCUACUCCUCCAUAAUCUGACCUUUGCUUUUCUGGCUGGGAUUCUCUUCUCAAUCUCAUGGAUCACAUUCAAACUCUUCUCUCACUACUUCCAAACCUCCUGCUCCCAUUCCAUUCUCCUUUCACUUUUCCUCUCAUUUCACUCCUACUACAUACUAUAGUCUCAAAUUCUUUGACCUUUGUGCCAAUCUCCUUACACACCCCAAAGGUCCAUAGAUUUCACCUUGUGUCAUAUUAUGUUUUCAUGUUAUUCCACAUGGCAUUACUUUAGAUUGGUAAAUCAUGAUGUGUAGAUAAAACUAUGGCUGGGACUUCAGUCCUUCAGCAGACCAACUUCUUUUCACCGCCUGCAGAUCCACCACAAUUCUCCGAGUUGAAUUUGAGGUUGAAGGAGCAACAGUGCUUAUCUCUCCUCAAGAGGUGCAAGAACUUGGAAGAUUUCAAGCAAGCUCAUGCCCAGAUCGUCAAAUGGGGUUUCUUUUGGAACUCCUUUUCUGCAAGCAAUCUGGUGGCUGCAUGUGCUCUCUCAGAUUGGGGUAGCUUGGACUAUGCCUGUUCCAUUUUCCAACAAUUCCAUGAACCCGGUACUUUUGAAUUCAAUACCAUGAUCAGAGCUCAUGUCAAAGACAUGAACUUUCAGGAUGCUUUAGUUUUUUAUUAUGAGAUGCUUGAAAGAGGAGUUGAGCCUGAUAAUUUCACUUAUCCUGCACUUUUCAAGGCAUGUGCCUGGUUAAAGGCAAAAGAGGAAGGAAUGCAAAUUCAUGGGCAUGUAUUUAAGUUUGGGUUUGAAAGUGAUCUUUAUGUACAAAACAGUUUGAUCAAUAUGUAUGGCAAAUGUGGGGAGAUACAACAUUCUUGUGCAGUUUUUGAGCAAAUGGAUGAAAAGAGUGUUGCUUCUUGGAGUGCUAUUAUUGCAGCAAAUGCUAGUUUGGGAAUGUGGUAUGAGUGUUUAAUGGUAUUUGGGAACAUGAGUAGUGAGGGAUGUUGGAGGCCUGAAGAAAGCACACUGGUUACUCUGCUCUCUGCUUGUACUCAUUUGGGUGCUUUGGAUUUGGGGAAAUGCACACAUGGGGCAUUACUGAGGAACAUUAGUGAACUCAAUGUCAUAGUUCAAACCUCAUUGAUAGACAUGUAUGUCAAAUGCGGGUAUUUGGAGAAAGGUUUAUCACUCUUUAAGAAGAUGACCAAAAGGAACCAAAUGUCCUAUACUGUAAUGAUUUCAGGGCUUGCCAUGCAAGGACAUGGUGAAGAAGCUCUAGGGAUAUACUCAAUGAUGCUAGAAGAAGGUCUGGACCCGGAUGAUGUAGUCUAUGUGGGCGUAUUAAGUUCUUGCAGUCAUGCUGGCCUUGUUGAUGAGGGCUUCAAUUGCUUUGAUAGAAUGAAAUCUGAGCAUGGAAUAGAACCAACAGCUCAGCAUUAUGGUUGCAUGGUAGACCUCAUGGGAAAAGCUGGGAUGAUCAAUGAAGCUCUUGAGUUCAUCAACAGCAUGCCUAUCAAGCCCAAUGAUGUGGUCUGGAGAAGCCUUCUUAGUGCUUGUAGAGUUCAUUGUAACUUGGAAAUCGGAGAGAUUGCAGCCAAGCAUCUAUUCGAGUCAAACUCGCAGAACGCCGGUGACUAUGUGAUACUGUUGAAUAUGUAUGCACGAGCUGAAAAGUGGGUGGAGGUGGCUAAAAUUCGGACGGAAAUGGCUAGAAAAGGUUUCAACCAAGUACCAGGAUUUAGCUUGGUUGAAGUUGGAAGAAGAAUCCACAAGUUUGUCUCGCAAGAUACAUCUCAUCCUCGAUGCGGAAGUGUCUAUGAGAUGAUUCACCAGAUGGAAUGGCAGUUAAAAUUCGAGGGUUAUUCCCCGGACACGUCUCAGGUAUUGCUUGAUGUUGACGAAGAAGAGAAGAGGCAGAGAUUGAAAGGUCAUAGUCAGAAGCUAGCCAUUGCAUUUGCACUCAUCCAUACGUCUAAAGGCACACCUAUAAGAAUAGCUAGAAACCUCAGGAUGUGCAGUGACUGUCAUACUUAUACCAAACUAAUAUCCAUCAUCUAUGAACGUGAAAUUACCGUAAGAGAUCGUAAUCAAUUCCACCAUUUUAAAAAUGGAACUUGUUCCUGUAGGGAUUACUGGUGAAGCGAUAAACUUUUCAUUAUCAGGAUUUUGAUUCUUUCAUCUGCCAUGAAUUGCCAUUUCCUUCUGCAUUAAACUCUAUACAUGAUAGUUGUUAUACAACCAAAAAAAAAAGUUAUUUUAAUCAAAUUUUCUCUUGCAAACAAUUGUAUUUCUGGGAAAAAUGGAGCCAAGAUCGGUGCAGAACUCACAUGGUGAGGAAUGCAGCCAUAAAUCAAAUGAUUUUCAAUCAUAUAUUAAGAAGAAAGUUGCCAAUCCAUAUGAAAAUAGUUCUAAAAAUUGAUGCAAGUAUUGUAAAUCAGUCCGAAUCGAAGUUUUCCUCUCUGCUUUUUUCUUUCAAAUUCAAUGGUCUUCCAUGGGCCCUAAACGUUCAAGAUGAAUACUCAAACCAGUUUAACGAGAGUUUUACAGAAAAAUUAAAUCAGAAUGGUUUAGCCUUAGGGCUUUACAUGUUCCCUGAUAAACUGUUCUACCUGUGCUACUUCCCCCUUCAAACCUGAAGCAUCUGCAACGGUAACCACGUUUCUACACUGAGUGAAUGAAAAUAUUUCUCCAGAUACUCCGAGAGUGAAGUCAUUUGAAAUAUCAGCUGCUGAUAUUGCACUUCUUGAUGCCCGCAGUUUCUCACUAUAAAAAUGGUAAAAACAGACAAAUUAAGUAUAAAUGACAUGCAAAAUAUAAUUACAGAAAUAUAGAACAUAUAGAGAGAAACACACUAGUGAUCGUACAUUUCCUUUUCUAUUUGCUUUCUGAUGAACUCCUUGGUAUGUGCAGUCACUUUAUCGGAUUUAUUGCAACAGAUAAGAACUGGAAUUUUCUUCUUAACCACACUGGCCUUGGUCAGAAUAUCAUACAGAUAUCUGUUACACAAAAGCGAAAAUCGUAUCUAACAUACUUCUUGGUAAUCAGAAAGCAAAAGGAAGAGAAUUGCAAGUGUAGCAUAUGCAUUAUCGUAGCUAUUCUUACUCCGAAACUGAAGGGCAACUUGGUAAGAACUCCACAGCAUCCACAACAAACACAAUGCCAGCUGCUUGAGGCAAGAAUUCAUCCAGUUUGGGCCGAAGACGAGAAUGACCAGGAACAUCAACAAGAUGAAUCGACUUGAUUUUUCCCUUCUAUUAAAUGAUAGAUUUAUUAGAAGUGAGGGAGAGAGAGAGGAUGUGGAGUCAGUUAAAUACGGGACAAUGAUCCAAAAGUACCAAUCAAUGACAACAGAAUGAAAUAAGAUGCCAUAUGCCACAUAGGAAAACAGAAAGCAUAAACUAACUUCAGAAAUGCAAGCUAAGAUGAAUUACCUUAUUACUUUCAGAGUUUAGCACGAAAGUGCCCUCAUUUGGUUCCAUGGAUGUAACAGUACCCUGAUGUGAGGAACCAUCACGAAGCUGACAUGGGAAUAAUGUCAGGAAAGUUAUGAGUAGCGACAAUAUCACAUUUCUAAGCAUUUCAACUAUGCUAAAAACUUAGGACAUCAGAAUACCUAUCUAAUAGUAUAUUGUACGUUCCACAGCCAUACAGGACAUCACUAGAAGAAUUUAAUAUUUCAGAUUUUAAGAGUUUGGAAAGGAACAAAGCAAAUAAUGGAGCUGCGUACCACAUAGAAAAGAACUGUUUUACCGCUCCCAGUAAGGCCUGUGAGUACUAUGGUAUUUGAUUUAGUGCGCUUGAACAAGCGGACUGCAAAACAAAGAGUGAGGAAAAGGUAAGUAAAUAUAACUCAAACUCCAAAUGGGAAACUGAUUAUAUCAUAAUAUUGCCUAAAAAGGAAAUCUCAUAGAAUGCUAAAUGGGAAUUCAUUAAAUUAAAAGCAUGAUAAGAAACUUCAAGGUAAUAUAUCUUGUAUAUUUAUAUCAGUCUAAAUAGGUUUUUAUCAAGAUGAUAAUCUAAAUGCUUAUGCAUUGAGCAACUGACCAAAUCCAACAACCAUUUGUUAGAUAAAUAAUCAAUUAUUAACUUCAAAAAUCUAACAAUUCACACAUGAAAUAAAAUUUAGAAAAAUCCAUACAUCUUUUAAAAAAUAAAUAAAUAGAAAGGGGUUUAAUCACUUUUGCUACUAUAAAAGAAUGACAUUUCAAAUUCUUAAAUGCAUAAACCAAGAAGAAAUAUGAAAACUAAGGAAAAUACUACUGCCUAAUUCUUGAAGAAACAAAUAAUAAACAAAAUUUCUAUUCCAAGAUCAUUAUUAAUAAUCAAUGCGGAUUUACUGGAGAAAAGCAAGAGGGUAGAUAUGAACAAGACAGCAAUAGCAGCAUAGAGUUGAAUUGGGGGUAUUUGAUGCAAAUAUUCAAUUGCUUGAUGCAACCACUGCUCCAGUUGAAUCUUCCAUGGCUCCAAUUGAAUCUUCAACUGCUCUAAUUGACCCUUCCACUGCUCCAUCCCUUCCAUCGCUUGAGUUUCAGGUUAUAUGGGAUAUGAAAACCUAGAAAACGCAAAACCCAGAUUCAAAAAUUAAUUCUUUUUCUGAAUCCUGAAUUAAGAGGUUUCUAAAAGGCAAGGAAGUUUGUCUGGUUCAAGGCUAGACAUUGUCUUUUCUCUUGGUAAAAAGCUUAGUUUUUCUUUAGAGCAAGACAGAUUCAAAGUUUUAACAUUCGAAAGUUGAAAAUUUUUGGGUCAUGUUCUCUUACACUCUACUAGAAAUUGAAAGCAACAAAAAGGGUAGAAACCAUUAUAACCAAAGUUUUUGAUUCAGUAGGAAAAGGAUUAGCCAAAUUGUGAUUCAAAAAUAUUUUUAAAGAAGUGAGAAAAAGAAACCAAAUCUCUAAUGAGAAAAAAAUUCGAUUAAGAUUAGAGAAAAAUCCCAACUUUAAGUAUCAACUCACAAUUUCAUUCAAAUGGAAUUUAGAUAUCAAAGUUGUAAAAAAAAAAUACAUACCUCUAACGUAUUUCUCUUCUCGCAGAGAAAAAAGAAAAAUAAAAAGUUUUCUUUUCUCUUUCUUCAGCUAAUGGAAAAAUUGAAGAACGAGUGAACUGAGGGGAAAAGAAAAAUUAAUCGCAGUAUCAAAUUUAACGGCUCGAAAUCAAAGUACCAAAUCUGACGGUCAAAAAUGACUGAGCUAAAGAAACAAGUUAAAAAAUUUCCCUGUAAUACACGGUGUAAAAACCUUGACCGAUGAAGAAAUUUCGACCUCCAAGCUGAAACUCCCCCCUCUAUCAUGUUUAAAUUGAGCAUUCAUUUCAAUCCAAAGCAAAACAGGCUGUUUCUUUUAUUCUAUGGAUCCUGUUUGACUGAAAAAACAGAUCUCUAAUUCCAUUAUCAGCCUUGUUUAUUUAUUUAUUUAUUUAUUUUUACUAGUAGUGGUUUUUCCAUUUUUAUUUAACUAACUGGCAUUACAUCAUUAAAAUUUCAGUGGGUCUUUUCCCUUUAUUUUACACAUCGUAAGAAAGUGUUGGAUACGGCUCCCUACCACAUUUAUAGCUGCUAACUGUAAUAUAGUAUCUCCAUGUUAUGUUUUCUCUGGUUAUUGGAUCUUUUUUUUUUUGUGCAUCUAGCAAUUCAAAAUUUUGUGGUCAAUAGAAAUAUUCAUAUCCGCAGCUUUUGUUUUUUUUACCAAUGUUCCAUUUGGAUCAAUGUAAAAUCCUGCAAUAAGCAUUGGAUGUCACUGAAUACUGGGGAACUCUUCCAGCUUGUCCUUCAUUUUCCUUUAAAUGAUGUUCCACCAUCAUCUCUCCCUGUUUAUCAGCCUACAAUUCCGAAUCCCUUACUCAGACAUAUAGAGUAAGAUGAGAUGAACUAAUAAGAUCCUUGCUUGUAGCUCAGAUCCGGCAUGAAAUUUUUUACAAAUCAUAACCCUAUUGGCAACUAAUGUACCAGAAAUAAUGAAAACCCGUCGACAUGGCUUCAUGAAGAUUUUAUUCAAAGUUACGGGAACCCCAGCUGCAGUAAUGAGGAAUCCUUCUCAAGCUGGAUGUAGAACAGAAAUCAUUUGCAUGAAGACGCUUGAAGUAGCUAUCUUCAGCCCAACAAAGUGCUUGUGCAGGUCAUUGCAUCCUUCUUUCAUGCCGAUGCCAAAUUGGGAGUGUAGGGAGUCAUUAAUUCUUAUAUAAUUUCUAUCUGCGGGGUUCAAAUUAAAAGGAUGGAUUCAACAAGGUCAUCGCUAGUCCCAUGGCAAUGACAUUCUAGCCUGUAGGAUUUCUAUUGCAAUCAGCUUAAAAACCUUUGAGCAUUGAUACGUGAAGUUGAAUCGUGAAAAGCAACUUACAGUCUUCCAUUGUCCAAAAUAAAAGAUUAUCAAUACAAAUGUAUAUCACUGAACUGCACUACUACAGCUAUCCUCUACUUAUCACAAAACAAAUGCCUGCUUAACCAUGUUAAAAAGUCAUGAGUCGGUGGCAGUAUUCACAGGUUAUUUCUUCCUAGUAAGACCUAUUGCAGUAGCUAUUAAUAUAUCUUGAAGAAAUUAUAAAGCAGCUAAAAAAUUCAUGUUUCUCUGCAGGGUACUUGCAUCAUAAUGGAUCCUCCACACUAUAGGUAAGCAAAAUCAGGUUUCUGAAAUACAUAUCAUCUUUAGCAGCCAAUAGCAAGAUCAGGAGGGACUGAAGCAGGAUCAAGUUCCCAGCAGUCUUUCAAAAGAUCAGGGACAUCAUCACCAUAAAGCUUCCGUGCAGGAAUCUGAUGUGAAAACAACCUAAUGUCAUCUUUUUCAAGCCAUCUAAUAGCCUGACAUCCAAUCUCCUGUCUCUUAAAUACCGUCUUGAAUCCAUCAACUUUCUCAAGAUAUGCCAUGCUCAAUCCAUGAACUUCACUAUAAGUUGUUAAAAGCACAACUAUGUCAUUGCAGUGUUUAUCUCUAGCUGAACAAUUUCUUCCUGCUGCACCUAAUUUAGCUUCAUUAUAAAGAACCCAAACUGAGCCCUUCCUCGGAUAAAUCCUAUAAAAUUCCUUUGCCGCCCUUUCACAUUCUACCAUGUGCGAAAAGAUAUUCACAGAGUUAAUUGAACUCUUCCUGGCGACCUUAAAUCUCCCACAGGAUACAUGAAAUCCCAUUUCCUCCCAACUAAUUAACUUGUCAUCCCCAUUAUUCUGAGAGUCCAACCAACUCAUCUUCACUUCAAACGGAUUUACCGAAAACACUUCCUCAAUCAAACCAUAACGCCUAGGCAUUCCAUCAUCAUCAUAUAGCCCACACUUGCCCUUUCUUAAAAUUCCUCUCAGAUCUAUCUUUAUAAAAAUCAUAGAAAUCCAAAUCCUCCACAGCCACAAUUUCCAUGUCCCUACUCUUGGAACUACGGCGCUUCUCAAUGUCUGAAUUCACUCUCUUCCUAGAAGUCCCUUGCUUGGUGAGCUCUGAAUUUUGAUUCUUCUUCCCAUUCUCUUGAGUCUUAGCUUCAAAAUCUACACUUCUUUUCUUAGUUGAACGUGUCAUAAUACCCAAAUUUACACUUGCCUGUGAAGGUCCCUGAUUCUCAAUCUCAAAAUCCUUACUCUUCUCUGAUGCCUUCGGUUUCUCAUUCUUUGAAAGACUACUUUGUUUAGGUUCAUCUCUCUCACUUUCCUUCUCCUUUUCACCUGCAUCUUUCACCUUUUCUUUUUUAUUCAACUUUUCCCGUCCUUGAUUAGCCUUUUGCUUCAUUUCCAACUGCAUUUCCGCAAGUGUCAUUGUCUCCUCUGCAACUUUUACCCUCUUUGACUUUGAGCUCUCCUCCAUCUCAUCAUCUCCCACCUUCCCACCUACAGACCUUGCCAAUAUCUGCCCAACAGUACUCAUACUCCUUGAGCCUCUGCUCCUCAACCUCCCCACACCCCACUCACCACCAUCCACUUCCUUCCCCACAUCAGCACUCUCUUCCUCCUUCAAAUUCUCACCACUAGCUUGCCUCCUUGAGCCUACACUUCUAGUUGUCUCACCAGUACCCUUUCCCCCCUCCAACCCAACACCUUUGGGACCAUCCAUCUUCCUCUUCAACCUCUCACCUGGUUUAGAAGCCAAGACAUCCUCCUCUCCCGUACUUUCACCAUGACCAUCAUCUUCUCCAUCAACCUCCACAGCCAAAAAGCUCUUCUUACAACUUGGGCAGACCAAAUUAUGCCCCAAAUACAUCUUUUCAAACUUAUGCAACAACCUACAGCGCGAACAGGCAGUCCAAAAUGUCUCACCAACAGCACCAUUAUUCCCUUCCAAUCCAUCAAGCCUUUCCUCCUGAAUCCUAAUCCUAAGCUUCAUAUCAUAUUCUUUCCUCCUAAUCUUAUCAGAAAACAUCCUAAACCCUUCACCAACUAGCUUAAACGCUUCUUCACAUCCUAAAAAAGGGUUCUUGUCAGGAUGCAAAAUCAAAGCUAGUUUUCUAUACUGUUUCUUGAUGGAGUUAAAGUGGGAAAAGGGUUCUACCUGGAGAAUUUUAUACCAAUCGGGAGCAUGUUUGGGUUUGGAAGCCGCCCGGAGAAUCUUAAAGGCAGUGAGCAUGGAGGAGAUGCCUUCGAGGUUUGGACAAAGACGGUGGGCUUUCUUGGCAUGUUUGAGAGCGGAUUGGAGGUUUGAAUUCUUGUAUUUGGUUUCAGCUAGUGCUUUCAAGCGUUGUGCUUCUUGCUCUGCAUCUGAGUGGGUCGUCAUCUCUGAGACAACGAGGAGAAGGAUUCCCUGUCGGUAGAGAAUAAAUUUUUUAGGUUAGGGGAUGGCUUAACCACAGAGUAGUGGUUUUGUGUGUUUCGUCGGUUUGAGUUCUGUAACAAGGAAUCGUAAUGCCCCCUUUUUGAUUUCCGAUUUUUCCUGUUGGACAAUAAGAAAAACAAAUUAGAGCCAAAAAUCAGCUAACCCCUUCCCCUCCUUUUCUUUUAUGAAAAUUUUAGCUUUUUAAAUGAGUAAAAGUGUUUUUUAGAGCCAAAAAUUUUAAGCAAAGCCUGUUUGUUGAGCAUAGCUUUAAAGAUAAAAAUGUUUUUGAAGCUAGAAUUGCUUUGAACAAAUGAUUAGUAAUUUUGAAAAAUAAAAUAGAUAAAAUAUUCAUUUUAGACCUGGUGAAUAAUAUUCAAAUUGUUAAUAUUUUCAUAUAUGAAAAAUAAAUUUUAAAUAUUUUUUAAGUAAUUAACCAAAGAAGUGAAAAUACCAUAUGUUGAAGAAAUAAAAAAGUAAUUAAACUGUCAAAACUGCUUUUAGGAGAGAAAAACUACAAAUUUUUAACUUUCCCAUAUGGGAAAAAAUGCUUUUGAAAAAUUAAAAAUUUCUUUCAAAUGUUAUUUGUUUAGCAUUAUUUUUACUUCAAAAAUAUUUUCAUGUCAAAUAUGCUUCUAAAAAGCACUAGCCUAAGUUAAUUUUAAUAAUUUUUUAAUAAAAAAAGUAUUAAGGAAUCUUUUUUUAGUUUCACAAAAUAUAAUUUACUAAAAGUAUUUUUUUAUCUGUAUUUGUUUUAAUAGAAAAUAACUUGAUUAACGAAAAAUAAUUUAUAGAUCAAUAGAAAAUAAUUUUUGUUCCAGUAAAAUAAUUUACCUUCUUUAAAAGCAAAAGACAUUCCUUUAUAAGUAAUUUUAUUAUAUUACUAAUAAAUUUUUAAUUUUAAAAUUAUUUAUAAUAAUUUCAAUAUUAUUAAACAUACAUAUUUAAUUAUUUAUAUUUAAUAAUAUAAUAAUUUAUUAAAAUUUUAUUUUAAUAAUAAAUUUUAAAAAUAAUAUUCUUCAUAUAUUAUUGAAAAAUAUUUACUAAUAUUUUAAUAAUAAAUAUAUGUUACAAAUAUAAGUAUAUUAAUAAUAAAUAUUUUAUAGUAUAAAGGUUAAAAUAUUUAUAAGUCCAUGUACUCCUUAAAAUUUUAGAAUUUAGUCUCUCUAAUUUUAUUUUCAGGAAUUUAGUUCCUCUAGUUUUUAGAUUUAAAAAUUAGGUCCAAUUAUUAACACCAUUAAUUUUUUUGUUAAUUUUGUUGAUGUAAUAUUUUUAAAUAAAAAAAUCCACUUGGUAGUCAUCUAACUAAAAAAUGAUGUUAUAUUGAACUUGAAUCUAACAAAAUAUGUUUAAUAGUGUUAACAGUUGAACUUGAAUUUUAAAAUUUAAAAAGUAGGAUUAAAUUCUCAACAAUAAAAGUACAAUGACUAAAUUUCAAAUUUACGAAGAGUACAUGGGCUCAUGACAUAUUUUAACCUCAAUAAAUAUGAAUAUUUUAAUUAUAUAAAUAUGAGUAUUUGUUUAAAUAAUGAUUAAUUUCAUUUAUACCUUACAACUCUAAUGUAUUAAUAUAUACUCUCAUAUAUGUAAUUUGAAUUAAGUUUCAAUUAGGCAUUAUUUAUUAUUAAGUUUAUAAAUGAUAUUAAUUAUUACAAAAUGUUAUCUUAUUAUAAAAUAUAUUUCGAUUGUCAAAAGGAAAUUGUACUAUAAUAUUUUGUAACAUAUUUAUUUAUGUCGUUUCAAUUAACAAAGAACAACAUUUAGAAAAUGAGUUAAGAAAACUUGCUAAACAACGAAAAAUAUUUUAUGCAAAAUCAUCUAAACACCAGAAAUAUCAGCUUUUCCAAAAAACUAAUUAUUUUCCAAAAAUAAUUUUCCGGAAGUUAUUAUCUAUGAAAUAAACGCAACUAUAGUUACAGGAGUUGGAUUGAAUUUUGCUCUAUCUACUUAAAAAAAAGGUUAAAUUAGUUAUUCUAGAUUGGAUAAAAAGUAAACUAGUUCUUUUAUUAAAAAAUUCAUUCAUUUAUACUAUUAAAAAUUUAUUCAUGUACCAAAAUGAAGCACAUGUAGCACGUCACAUUCACUAUUUAGUUAUUCCACCAACUAUGCUAGUUUUUAAUAAUAAAUGGAUAAUUUUUUAAACAAAAUGACAAAUUUGCUCUUUGGUCAAAUGUAUAAGAAUUAAUUUACCUUUUUUUUUAGUAAAGAGGGCAAAAUGCAAUCUGACUCCUAAUACAGAGACUUCUAUAGUACUUUUAUUGUUAAAUUUGUCAUUUAUAACCACAUAUCUAUACUUCUAUUUAAGCUCUACCUAAGUUAAUGUCACGAGUCAGCCGACACCAACUUAGUUAAAAAAUUUACUAAAAUUUCCUUUAAUAUUUAAAAUAGGUUAUAUUGUCCAAUGGUACUUUGAUCUUUUUUAAUUAAAAAAAAACAAUGAAAAUAUAGAUAUGAUGGGAUGUGAACCUAAGCUAAUUGCAUUGGUAAAAUUUUAAAUUUAUCACUCAACAAAAUCUUUACUUUAAUUUUAAUUUUAAUUAUUCAUUUGUGUUCUACAUAUAUGAUUUAUACAUGCAUACAUGUAUGAUGAAAUUUCUAGUUAUAUUAUAUUAUGUGUUACGAGUUAAUAGACACUAAUUCAAUUGAAAAUUUCAAUUAAAUUUUUCAAGGAAAUUGAAAAAUAAUUAAAAUAUCCAUAUUUUUUUACAAAAUAGUAAUUAUAAUUAUAUGGGAUAGUGGCAAAAAGUACAUUGUAGUUUAAUAAAAAAAAUUAAUUUGAUACUUGGUAGUUUUUGUUUUUGGGUGAUAAAAACAAAACAAAGAUUACAUCAAAAUAAAUUAAUCGAAAGUACCCUUAGCUUUAUCUUGAUGUAGAACUCCUAAUGCAUCAUGAGGGACUUCAUCAUAAACCUAUAAGCUUGUUUGCUAUCCUAAACUCAACUUAGCCAAACAUUCAGCAACUCGGUUAUCUUCUCUAGGGACAUGCCUAAUCAACUAUUGUCCUUCAGUUCUCAUAAUUCGUUGGACCCUCCUAAGCACUAUAAUGCCCGACUCCACCAACAUAUUAUCCUAUAGGGCUCGAACCACCUCCAAGUUAUCAUUAUGAAUCAUAACUCUAUUAAAUCCUUACUAAGUAAAAUAAGCAUGCCAUCCAAAAUACCCCAUAAUUCAACCUUAAAGACUAUGCAUUUUUCGAGACAGUGGUUAUAACCUAAGAUCCAAUCUCUAUUCUGAUCUCACAACACUCCACUAGUAAAAACACUUCCAGAUCCUCUAUUCAUCGCACCAUUAGUGAAUAAGUGCACUUGAUUACCUGACAAGAAUGUUCGAGUACCAAAUGCAUGAUCGCUUAGCUUGGCUCCAUUAUGGAUUAACUCAUACUGUUGUGCCCAAUUGUAGCAAACUUUGUUUAAAGACAAGCCAAAGAGAGAAGCUGACUCUCUGUUGCCCCUGAUACUUCCACAUAAUCUUCUAGAAAUCGUUUCUAAGAUUCCAAGAAUUUUCUUUUAAAGACAAAAAGGUACUUUAAACAAAAAAGAAUCUUGCCAUCGUACGUGUCCAAAUAAUCUUAUCUAACCCUGAUGAAGAGUGAGGGGGAAGAAUACUUACUAUACGCCUAACAACAUCCUCUGCCAGCCAAACAUGAAAAAGAUCAAGAUUCCAAGUUUCGUCAUGUGAAACCAUCUCACUAAGGGGGCAAUCCAAAGAAAGAUUAGCAUGGACAUGAAUAUACCUUACCAAAAGACCUAUUGUCAAAAUCCAUGAGUCCUUCAAUAGCAAAUGCUAUUGCCAUUUCUUAUUGGCCAAGCUAAAUUAUCAUAAAACAAGGGUUAAACCUUAAAAAGAGCCCUCUAAAGAUAAGAAAAGUUACUUCGCGCAAUGCUAUCUAGUAGUUGCUCUUUCAAAUUAUACUUCACUCAAAGGAUUUGUACCAAGAAGGAACUAUCCUUGGAUACCAGAUUAAACCCAAUAUUCAACAAAAACGACAUAUUUUGAUCUCUCAAAUAUUGAAACCCAAGGCCACUAUGAGACUAAGGUUGAUAAAUAGACUCCCACCCAACUAAUGUCAUCUUCUUAUACCCUCAUGAAUAACCCCAAAUAAAUUGUCUAACCAUUCGUUCAAUCUUUGCACAAACUCUCUUGGUAUCAUCAUAGACUACAUGAAGUAGUUAGAAAUUGAAAGAAUCACAGAUUGAGCCAAAGUAACUCUACCAACUAAGGACAACUUCCUAGCAUCCCAACUUUGUAACUUGCAUCGUACAUUUUCCACCAAAAAACUCAAAGUACUAUUAGUGACCUUUUCAUAGAAGAAAGACACCCCCAAAUAAAAGCCAACAUUUUGUACUUUAUGAAACCCAAGCAACUCACUAAUAUUGUUGUUUAAUUCAUAAUCCACUUCUCUAGAAAAGAAAAUAUUACUUUUUCAAGCACUGAUCUUAUGCCUAAAAUACCCAUAAAAGUGCUCUAAGAUACUCUUGAGUAAGCGUGCUUGCUCCAACUUCGCUUUGCAAAAAAUAACCAAAUCAUUUGCAAAGAAAAGGUGAGAUAAAGUAGGUCAUGAUCUUGAUAAUUGAAUAGGAAACCAGUUACCAGAACCUAUUUCAGAAUGAAUGUUGUAUCCUAUUCAUUCCAUGCAUAACAUAAAAAGAUACUAUGAUAGAGGACAUCCAUGUCUAAUCCCUCUAGCUGGCUUAAAUUUCUGAGUAGGGACUACACUCCAUAGAAUACGCAUUGUGGAAGAAGAAAUAGCAGACAUAAUCAUUUUCAAGAGAAAAUCUGGUAUACCUGCAGCCUGAAGGGAAGCAUCGAUAAACUCACAGCUCACUCUAUCGUAAGCUUUUUCAAAAUCAAUUUUAAUUGUCAUUCAUUUUCUACCAUUGCAUUUUCCUUUCAUGGAGUGAAUAACUUCCUACGCUACAAGUAUAUUAUCCGUGAUAUUUCAUCCAACAAUAACCAUUCCUUCUCCUAUAUAAUAAAAUUAAGAAAAACUAACUUGAAACAAUUAGCAAUAACUUUCAUGACAAAUUUGUAAAGGACAGAGCACAGACUAAUCGAUCAAAAUUGGGUAAAGCUUUUAGGAUUCGCUAAUUUAGGGAUGAGAACAAUCAGAGUACUAUUCAACUCCGCAUCAAUAGCUUUGCCUGUAAACACCCCUUUAACCCACUCACAAACAUCAUUACCAUCAACAUCCCACUGAAUUUGAAAGAAUAGGGCAUGAAAUCCAUCAUUACCCAGAGCCUUCAAUGGCGCCAUGUCAAACAAUGUCAUCUUAAUCUCUUCACUUGUGACAACCCUAUCCAAAAAAAAAUCCAAAGAGUUAAGACGAGGAAAAAUGACAAACGAGAGUUUUUUCAUCCUGAUCAAAAGAACACUCAUCGUUACCAAGUUGUAGAACAAUAAUACGAUUAAGCUUUCUCCACUGAAUCAUACGACUGUGGAAAAAUUUAGCAUUAUGAUUACCCAGAUUAAGCCAGUCACACCUAGCCUUUUGCUUCCACAUUAACUCCUUGUUACUAAGAACACUCUUCAACUCUUCCCGUACUUCCAUUUUGAGCUGAGAUAAUCAAUCAAAAUUUGACUAUUCCAUCCCCUUUUGAAUAUUCGAAAGCGAUUUCAUUAAUUACUUUUUUUAGGUACCAAUAUAUCCAUAAGCAGACUCAUUUUAAUAAUUAAUACGAGAGGUAAAAUGAGAUAAAGACUCAAUCAUAUUACCUGAAUAACUCCACUUGCUUUUCACAAAAGUAGCGAAAUUGUGAUGCUUCAUCCACCCAGCUAGAAACCGAAAAGGCCUACCUCUGGAAAAGUUUAGUUUCGGCCUCAUAGAAAGGAUAAGAGGGCUGUGAUCAGAUUUAAGCCUUGGAAGAUGCAACUGAACAAUUUGAAAAGGCUGAAACCCAAGAAUCAUUAGCUAGCGCCCUAUCUAACCUCUCAAAUGUCCUGCCUCUAUACCAAGUAAAGGAUGGUCCCGUGAACCCUAAAUCCUACAACUUAGUAGAUUAAACAAACUUACCAAAAAUAGAGCACCUUUUCCUAACAGAACGACCAUUUCUCUUGUCAAUAUGUGAAAGAAUGACAUUAAAAUCACUAAUAGUCACCCAAGGUGAUGAUCCCUAAGGCAUGAAUUUCAACUCAUCCUAAAGAAGCCUCAACUUCUGCCUGUCUGGGCUACCAUACACAAAGAAAAUAUAAAUGAAUUUGGAAGGGACAUUACAAAGCACUCGAAUAAGAAUAAACUGAGGAUGAUUCUGAAUCACCUCAACCCAAAUUUAAUCCUUCUAACCAAGCCAAAUACCCCUUGAGAAACCAAUAACUUCAACGCGAUUAAAAUAAUGAAAACCCAAAUUAGCAACAAUAUUAUCCAUUUUUUUACCGUUGAUUCUAGGCUCCAGUAAACACAUGAUACCCAGUUUAUAUUCCAAAUUAUGCUCCCGAAAAACUCAAGAUAAUUUGGUAUUGAGACAUCCUGGAUAGUUUCAUAAGGAGAUGGUUAAGUUUAAAUCCAUAAAAAAAAAGAGAGACGAACCUCAUUGUCUAGGAAUCUCUAAGCCACCCUACUGCUCUUCCACCUUGAUUGAAUUACCUGCACUAACAUCCACAACAAGCUGAUAGGUGAUAAAUUCAGCCAUAGUAUUCAAAGACUCAAACAAAGGAACGCGUGGGCUGUCAGACGCCUUAAAAAUAACUUCCCCGAUAAUGAAUUAUUUUAUUUAACUUCCUCCCAUUCCGACCAACCCCCGAUUUUUCCUCAAAAUUUCACUCAAAACUCCGAAAAGAAUCCCUACCUAAGCCCACCACCAAAUCUCCAUUUGUCGGUUCACAGGAAUUUUUGUUUUUUAUUUUCCUUAAAGGUGACUAUUGUAUGCUUUCAGAGGUUAAUACCACUCUCCAACAUUAAAAUCGCAAACUCUAUCGGCCCCUCUAAAAUAGGAUUAAAAUAGGUUGUCGCCAAUUGAAUACUAGUAAUCUGUAACACCCCCUAACCCCAAAUCGUCACUGGAACAGGGUUAUGGAACAUUACCAAACAUAUCGGAUAACUUAUAACUAAUUCACAAAUAAAUAACAUACAUAGCAUACUUUAAUCAAUACAUCACCUAGAUGCAUGCCACAUUUUCAAAAGAAAGGUACAUCACUAAAAUUUCUCUGAGGUCGGGAUUGCUCUGGAUGCUAGACCAGACACUGGUUUUCUACUAACCUGCGCACGGAAACAACCGUACGCUGAGUAUGAGAAUACUCAGUGGUAUUAUCAUAAUUCAAAUUAAUAACAUUAAUCAAUAAAUUAUAUACAUUCAAUUUAUGUCUACAAUUAUUCAUUAAUUAUCUCAUACUUUAAAUCAACUUGACAAUUAAUAACAAUAAGCAAUAUUUCAAAUCUUGUAUUUAAUUGUACCCAUACCUUAUUUCACUAUCUCAAUUCCAUUAAAAUUUUCACAUCUCAUUCCAAUAGUUCAUUUCAAUUCAUAUACAAUUCAUUCAAUUUAUCACUAUAUUCAAUAUCAAUUCUAUUGCAAUUUGUACUCACUAAUAUCAUAUAACAAAAAUUUAUUCUUAAUCACAUCAUGAACUUUGGGUUCAUAUCUUCAAAUCUCAUAUCUCGAUUUCCAAUUCACAUAUCAAUUCACAAUUUCACUUUCUCAUUUCUUUCCAUAGCUCAAUCAAUCACACUUAUUCAAAUUUUCUCAUUUCAAUUAUUUACCUCUAUUAACAAGACUCGGACCUUGGCGGAUACACGGAUCCAACCAAACACACCAGAAUGGCACCCAGUGCCUCAUCAGAUAGUUCGAAGCAAUAAAGUGACACCCAGUGUCUCAUCGACAGAGUUGCAGUAAGUUGGUACCCAGUACCUCAUCGAAUCUAUCUGAAGUAACAGUAUGACACCCAAUGUCUCAUCGACUCAAGGUCGAAGUAUCCCUGAACACUUCCAAUCCUAUGGCAUGCCAACUAUAUCCAACUCAGCCCGACUAGUUAAUAGGGUAUUCAAAUCAUUUUUCUAUUUCAAAUUCACUUUCGAUUCAAUCACAAUGCAAUUCAAAUUCAAUUUCCACUUUCUAAUCAAUAUGCAAUUCAAUACCAAUACAUUUUCCACUUUUCAAUCAAUAUACCAUCAAAUGCUCAUACAUAUCCAUACUUCAUUCCAAUUUCAUUCAAUUCACAUACAAUUCAAUAUCAUUUAAUUCAAUAUCGAUAUUCGCCUUAUUUUUAUUUACUAAACAUAUUAUUCAAAAUUCAACAAUUGCUAUUAAUAAAUUUAAUACCAAUACGUAUUUUUUUUUUCAAUUCAAUCAUAAUACUUACCUCAAUUUGUUUAUCAUGUAUAUUAAUUUAAAAUUUUAACAAUUAAUAAUUAAAUUUGAAUUAUGGUAAUACUAACUGAAAUUUUCUCGAAUCACUCCUUGUUCACCUUCUCCUUUCCUUUUUCGGACAAUGACUCUUGCACAACAUUAGCUACGUAAUUAAACAAUUAAAAAUCAUUAAUACACAAUUUCAUCAAAAUAUUUCCAUUUAUACCUAAACUUUACCUAAAUUCUAAUUUAAUCCCUUAUCAAUACUAAUUUUAUUUUCCCAAUCUAACUCCAUAUUCUCUCUUAAUUCUUACUAUAAACUCAUUUUAACUAUUCAUUUUCACCAUAAAUUCCUAAUUUCAAAAUUCUCUCAAUUUAGUCCCUAUUAAUUCAAAGCCUAUAAUUUAUUUUACAAAUCAACCUUUUACUAACUUCUAACUUGAAAUUCAAUCAAUUUAAUCCCUAAUUUUUCAAUUUAUUCAACAUAAAUAACAUCUAAAAAUUUACUAACUUUCAAAAUUUCAACUUCAAUCAAGUAGUAUUUUGUUCUAGGAUUCUAAAAAUAUCAAAAUUAAAAAAAAAUGGGGGCUAAAUUAACUUACCAAUUGAGCUUGGAACUUCAAAACCCCAAUCCUCCUUUUUUUUUUCUUUUGUUUCUCCUUUCUCCUUCUCUGUUUCGUUUUUCAAUUCUGUUUCUUUCUCUUUUAUUUCUUGUUUUAUUGUUAUAAUAAUAUAAUAUAACAAUAUACUUAUUAUUUAAGUAAACAUAAUAUAUAAUAUAUAUUUUAAAUUAAAAAAUAUCUUAGAUAUUUCUUUUCUUAUGCCACCUCAAUUUAGGCUGAUGGCAUAAUUGCCUAUUUGGUCUUUUUAACUUUCUUUAAUCUAUAAUUAAACUUUUAUCCCUACUUCAAUUUAGUCCUUUUUCACAAUAACUCCUAAUUUAGAUAAAUUCACUUAAUUAAAACCUAACUAACUACACAAUUAACUUCGUAAUAUUUAUAAUAAAUAUUUACGAGUCUGAUUUAUCGGAACGAAGUCCCGGGCAUACUUUUUUUUUCAAUUCGAUCCUUUUUAAUCAAUUAACCAUCAGAAUAUUAAAAUUUCUUAACGAAACUUUAAUACUACCCUAAUGACACUCCGUAAAUAUUUAUAAAAAUAUUUACGACUCAGUUUAUAAUAUCGAGGUCUUGAUACCUCGUUUUUGACCCAAUUUACCUAAUAAUUUCUUUUAAAUCACAAAAUUCUCAAAUUUUAGAAAUAUUUCUAAAAUCACGCUUAACUUAUAAUUAUUAAUUAAUAAAUUUUCUAAAUUUUUUAUCGGGUUUAGUGAUCUCAAAUCACUAUUCUGACACUAAUGAAAAUUGGGCUGUUACAUAAUCAAACAUGAACCAGCUCUUACCACCGCAGCAACACCAGUCGCAUCGGGAAAUUCUUCACAAACGAUCUCAUCAACAUUAACUAGUUAGGCUUGAUAACUCCCAUCGACCUCCACAACUUGAUCCAACAAAGAUGGGUUCACUCCCUCAAUAGGAUUAUUCGGUUUAGAGCUUUGGGCUAAUUGUUUGGCCAAUAAAAAACUCAUUGAUUCAUUACCUUGUAAUAUUUUUUUACCCUGAUUAUUCAUUAAAGUUACAACCCUCUUUGAUCCUAAAGACCCAAUUGUAACAAGGCUUACUUUCUUCAAUUGGCCUGACGGGCCAGCGUUACCCUUAAGACCUAACUUAUUAUACUACCCAAUCUGGGCCUCAAGACCCUCAAUACCCAUUUAACCCAAAUUUAUAACAUCUCUUUGUGAAUUUCUUGCUAAAGUUUCUUUCCCUUUACUGCUUGUCCCCCCAAAUUCUUAUCUCUAUCACCAAGCUCAUCCAUAUCAUUAUCUAAGUAAAUCAAAGCACUAAAUCGGGAACCUUCAAAAUUUUCUCAUCUGAUUUCCCGUUCCAAUUACCCUAAGCUCCCUCGAUUUACAUCGUGAAUUCUUCUUUACAAGCAUCCAAGGCCUAUAAGAUCCACCUCUCUUUUGCCUUCAUUGGCCAUCAUCGAAUCCACCAGCGUCGAAAUAGACGGUAGAGUCUCCUUUUCAGCAUUAGGGUCAAGUACUUUAUUUGGGAAAGCCUCCUUCAUAUGCCCAUACCUCCCACAUCCAAAACAAAUUGUCGACAAGAACUUGAAUUCGACUUACUAAAGGGUGUUGUUGAUCAAAACUGAAGAGACCAGAAGCUUGUCCAAAUUGACAUACACGACCAUGCGAGCAAAAUGCCCUAUUACCCUACUGUUGGUAUUCAUAUCUAGUUUUGUAACUGUUCCAACCAUUCCUCCAAUUUCCAACUGUAUCUUCCUUUUGUACAUAUAACACGAUAAACUAGGGAGCAUGACCCACUACAUCACCACACUCGAAAAAGGUUGUGCAAGGUUGAAACUCAUCGUCCAAGGCUGCAGCUGUAACAACCCGGUUUGACUCUAAUCGAAAUAGUGGUUUCGGGACCAAAAAUCCGAGUCCUAAAAAUAUUUCAAUAUUAUUUUGUGUGUUUACUUUGUGUGUAUUUGAUUGUGUGAAAUUUUCGUGUUUUAAUUUUGUUGUUUGAGUGUCCGAUUAAAUAAAAGGAUUAAAUCACGAAAAAUAAAAAUUUAGGGGUUAAUUAUAAAAGCACCUAAUUGUUGUUGUCUUUUUAAAUGGAAGGAUUUAUGAUGCAAUAAGACCAUAAAGUAGUGAGUGGGUGAUAAUGGUAAAAAAUGACCUUAUAUUAUAAGGUUUAUAUAUUUUGUAUUAAAGGUUAAUAUAGUAAACUAAUAAUUAAAUAAACAUAUGAUAUAAUAAAUCAAUUGAAGCCAUUAUUUUCAUUCUUCUUUUGCCGAAACUUAGAAAAACAAAUAGGGUUUAAAAGCUUUGAGGUAUUCGGUCAUUAACAAGCUUAAUUCAAGGUAUGUUUUACUUCAGUUUUUGAUAAUUUUUACGUUUUUGAGAUCGUUGCUUCGUGUUCUUCAAAACCCAUAUCUUAAUUUUGUGAAUUGUGGAUGAUUUUGAAAUGUGCCAUUGAUGAAUGCUUGAGUUUUAUGAUGUUAGUAGGUGAAAUAUGAAAUAUAUUUGUUAGAUUAAUAUAUUUUGUAUUGGAAUUUUUAGUGAAAUUGAGUAAAUAGGGCUAAAUUGUGAAAUUAAAUUUUUGGGGGACUAAAGUGUGAAAUAAAUGCAAUGUGUGGACUUGCAUGAGAACCAUGAAUAUUCGGCCCUUGUGUGGUAUGGGCAAAUUUUGUAUAAAUUGUGUUUUAUGCAAUAGGGACUAAAUUGCAAAAAGUGUAAAUAUUAGGGGCAAAAUAGUAAUUUUCCAAAUUAUGUGUUUUUGAAUUAAAUUGAAUGUGUUAAUAAAUAAGUUAUCUUAUUUUGAAUAUAUUUAGAUCGAGAACUAAAGAAAUCGAAGUUAGAUCGGGGAAAAGCCAAAUUAGUCGAAUAAUCGUCCGACUUCGAUUUUCCAUCGUCUGAGGUAAGUCCAUUAGCUAUUUAAUGUUAUUAAAUCCAUAUCUAUAUGUAUGAAUAUCUAUUAUGUUGUUGUUGAGCUAUAAUUAAAAGUAAUUUAAUUGAAUAAAUUCAAAUUAUAAAUGGUAUAAAUAUGUAUAUACAAUGUUCAAAUAUAUAGGUAUAUGCUUAUAUAAAUUUUUGAACUAAGUUAAAGUAUGAAUGGUAUAAAAUUAUAUAUAUAUAAAUUCAAAUAAUUAUAUAUGUAUCUAUAUGUAUACAUAUGCUUGAAUUUGGUUGGUUGUAUGAGAGUUAUAUAUAUGUGCACUUAAGAUUCAAAUAUAUGUAAGUAAAUACAUGUAUAAAUUCUUGCUUAAAUUAAAGAUAUGUAUAAUACAUAUGUAUACAUAAGUUUCGAACAUAUAGAUGUAUGUAAAACCAUUUGGGUUUGAUUAAAAGUAUGUAUGUUGUAAUUGUACAGAUAAUUUCGAAUAAGUAAGUAUAUGGAGUUGGAACAUCUAUAUAUAUAUGAAUAAGUCUUGAUUAUAUUUUAAGGUAUAAAUGUUAAAAACGUACUUGGGAGUUCGAAUAUAUCUAAAUGUAUAUUUGUGUACAGAUUCUUGAAUUGAAUCGAAUGUAUGAUUCGCAAACUCUUUUGUGAUUGAAUAUGGACUACAAUGAAUGUGUGUUUGCUGUUAAUAAGUAUUUGAGGAAAUUAUUCUGUAUAUGGGAAAAUUGAGAUUUUCAAGCAUAGCGCUUAGCAAGCUUAUUGCCGGUGAAACGUUUCAGACUAUAUGUCUAGCAGGCUUAAUGCCGGUGAAAUAUUUCAGACUAUAUGUCUAGCAGGCUAAGUGCCGGUGUACUGAAUCAGGCUUAAAGCCUAGCAGGCUAAAUGCCGGUGAAUCUGUUUUAAGUAUGUGAUUAGGUGUACAAUUAUAUGAUUUUGGAUAUAUUUAAUUGAUAAGUAUAUUUAUAUAUAUACAUUUGGCUAAGUGCGUUUGAUGAUUAUAUAUAUACCCGGCUUAUACAAUUGAGAAAUAUAUAUAUGCUCUGGGAUUAUGCAUUUGAUAAAUAUAUACUUUUAAAUAUUCGGUACACAUAUUUGAUUAGUAACUAUAUAUGCAUUCGAGAUAUAUAUAUAUAUACCUUGGUUUAUAAGUAUUUGAUGAAAAUGAAUGCAUUCGUUCAUAUGUAUUAGAUUUGUAUUGGUUUAAAGUUUAAAAUGAGUAUUCAUACACAUUCGGUUAUGAUAUGUGUAUAAUAUAUAUAUGCUCGGUUGUAUACAUUCGUUGUAAUGUUGUUUGGUAUAAAAAUAUAUAUUCAAUUGAUCGCUUUCGACAGGUAUGCAUAUCUGUCUAUAAAUGAAAUGGUCUGAGUACAAUAAUAUAUAAAUAUUAGUUAUUCGUGUUAAUUGAAAUCUCAGUGAAAUAGAUUAAAAAGUAACUUUAUUUAUAUAUUUAUAUACAUUUAGUUAUGCUGUAGACUUACUAAGCUAUAAAAGCUUACUUUGUUUGUUUUCGUCCAUUUACUUUUAUAGAUUUUGGAGACGCGUUACGAGCUCGGGGAUCAUCAGCAUAGUCCAUCACACUAUCGACUUCUUUUGGUAUUUUGUUAAAUAUUUGAACUCAAUCUUAUGGCAUGUAUAGGUUUGAGUACGAUGUUAAUUACAUUUUGAUUGUAAAUUAUAAUAGCUAUGCGAAAGUAAUUAAAUUUUUACGUUGUGAUCAGUUUGGUUUUAAAAAUGUUGAAUUCGUUCGGUAAUGCCUCGUAACCCUAAUUCGGCGACGGAUACGGGUUAGGGGUGUUACAGCAGCGGUAGAUACUACCCGUAAAUAAUCCAGGGGCCUUUAGAGAGCACUUUAUUAUAAUUACUCUUGCUUUGAAAUCUAGUAAAAAAAUACUCGUUUUCAAUAUCCAUUAAUUAAAAGGGUGAAGAAGGUUUCUAAUGGCUAUAGAUUUUGUUCUGCAACGUCGAAUACCCUAUAUUACAUUCCAGGAUUUUUAAAACCAUUUUAGUACCCAUAUCAUUAAUCAAAAUCUGGUGAUCAAUCCACUACUAUAGCCUUAUCCAAGCCCUCGUAUUUGUUCGUAAAAUGAACUUUCUUAGUGAUCAAUCCUUCCGCAAAAGAAUCUUCAAACCCAACACCUUCACACAGAGAAGUAGCCAUUGAUACUUGUAGUUUUAAUUUGUUUGAUUUGAUACUUGUAUUUUUUCUCAUCUAACUUUUUGAUACUCCAGUCUAAUGGUGUUAAAUUAUGUUUAAAUAGACACGUGGAUGAUUGAAAAGGUGCGUAGGCGGUGCGUGGGCCAGAUCUUAAAAGCUAAACAG
This 80547-nucleotide long non-coding RNA is filed under the name Gossypium barbadense (sea-island cotton). RNAcentral's name for it is "long non-coding RNA (GBAR_LNC018734)". Lineage: Eukaryota; Viridiplantae; Streptophyta; Magnoliopsida; Malvales; Malvaceae. The record is from RNAcentral.